This 61394-nucleotide long non-coding RNA is filed under the name Fragaria vesca (wild strawberry). Its description in RNAcentral is "long non-coding RNA (FVES_LNC000258)". The record is from RNAcentral. Lineage: Eukaryota; Viridiplantae; Streptophyta; Magnoliopsida; Rosales; Rosaceae.
ACUCAAAACCUCAGGGGUAAAAUAAAUUUAAUCCAUUAGAUAAUUUCAUAAUUUAUGCAUUUCAUCUUAGCGUGACAAAUAGAUCAGGGUUUGUACUCCAAGACUUGACUACUCAUCUUCGUACUAUGCUAGCAAACAAAGACGAUGAAAAGACAUGAAGAUUUGAAAGCUGAAAACACCAGAAAUAAACAUGUCGUGAUUGUAGUGUGCAAUCAAAGCAAUCAAAUCCAAAUUAUAUAUCAAAGUUAUAAUCAAAACGUUAAUGUAAAAUGAUUGGUAUGCUAUGUAUUAGGGUGGGGGGCCAGAAAUGUCGAUCAAAUAGUGAGAGGUUAGUGAUGGCUGCACGCACAAGUGUUUGAUGCAGGAGAGAAAAUGGCUUUGCGAGGAUAAGGGAGUCGAUUGCUACAACAAAUCACAUCCAAUAAUAGCUGUAAACUGCUGUAAACACUUCUCCUUGGCAUUUUAGUGGUGAGCUAUUCAUAAUCAUAUAGCAUUUAACUGCUUGGCUCGAUUGGUUUCAACUCGAUCAAUUCGAUAUACAUUGAAAUUAAACUCAUUUCUCCACAUUCAAUUUUUCAUCAUGCUUAAGUUAGAUCAAGAUGCACGUCGUUUACGUUAUUUUUUUUGUAUGAUGUAUAUCUUAUCUUAAAUAAUUGUUUGAUAAUAACGAGUCAAAUUGUCUAAAAAUAGAACAUUUAUGUCCAAUACCAUUUGGUUUAGCGACAUAAUUUCUCCUUAAUAAUUGGAAGGUUGUGAGUUCGACUCAUGAAAAAUUAAUGAUAACAUUUGAGUUAUUUAUCCGAUAAAAAAAAAAUAGAACAUUCAUCAAAUUACCAGCUUAGCUUACGUACGCGUUUUAGGGGACAUUAAACUUUUCCAGGUUAAUUACUAGCUUAGCUCGGACAUUCAGCUCUUCUAGUCGGUAUGGAUGUCUGGACUUAAUUAAGAACCUGAUCUCUAUCGCAAUAUACCAAUAAGUCAAUAACCAAGACCCUAGCUCAUGAUUCACUUUCCCAAAAAAGACAUGGAUGCAAAUAUAACGGAAUUAAAUUAUUAGACUUUCCUAGAGUAUGUGACUAAUUAUUAACACCCACGGCCACCUUCCAUAACAUGUCUGCCAUUACUUGAGCCAUACGGCAUAUGACUUAUAGUCUUAUACUCUUAUAUAUAUGUGUGCGUAUGACAAUAAUGCUGAUUCAGCUGCAAGUGUCUUAUCAUAACCAAACUUCUAAUUUGGAAUACCAAACACAUUUUAAGACGUCCUCCAAGUGAAUGAGAAUAAACACCUUCCCAUUCUUCUAUGUAUACAUGCUCUGAUAUUUGGGACAAGUUUUGGUUGCUUUUUUGUAAAUCAUGACAAUCCAAAGUUUCUUCUGUGUUAAGGGACAUCUAUUAAUGCACUUGGUACACUAACAUUGCUCAUUUUUAGUGUUGGCAAAAGCACCUCGAUCAAGAAACCCUCCCAAAACAUCUUUGGUUGUUUUAACAUUUGGAUGACAAAGACACCCAACUAGGUACGCACCGCUCCUUAUCAUUCUCUCAGUGCCCCUUUUAAGAGGGGGAUCGGAAGAGAAGCCGAGGGCCGUCCACAUUACCAUCGACAUUCCCUAAAUGCACUUGCGCAAUAUGUUAGAAAUGGUGUCGCAGUCAAACACCGAGGUUCAAUCGACGCGCAACCAAACAUUCGUCUUCCCGGCUUUUAGCAUAAUAAAGAGGUGCAAGGCUCAUGUAACGCGGCGGCUUAGAUGCUAGUGUGGUUGCUGGAUGUUCCCUCCUACGCAAGAAACACACUCAAAAUGUGACUCAAACCAAGUAUAAUGCCCAUUAACACACAGAAUAAACUUAGGAAAAGCACAAACCGUUCGACUAAUCCCAUGAAUACGAAAACGACCUUACAUUCUGGGAUUAAAAGCACCACUUGUGUUCAUGGACCAUCUGAGAUUGUGAUCACUGAUAGCGAUCAAAAACCAAAAUUUUCUUUUUUGUAAGUUUGCAAUGCAUUGCAUUCUUCUUUGCUUUGUUCCAGAAAUGUGUGGUGACCACCACCAAAUUGAGCGCCAUAUCUCACUCCUCCACCACUCUCCGCCGUCCACGUCGGCCGUUGCUGUUUCCAAGUAAAUUCCUCACUUCCAUACCCGCCAAGGUUCAUCGACAUGUCGUGGGGCUAGUAUGGGGUAGCGGUCGGUCACUCAGGUCCUGCUGGAGAAAUUAGCCACUGAGAAGAGGCCACGUGGAAAUGGGGGGGGGGGAAGUGGCUGCUCUGGUUUGUCUCAUAUGCCCCCCAUGAAGACUUUUAGAGGUGAAGGAGAAGAAGGGACCGAUUGAUUGCUGGCUUAACCCAAUAAAGCUUUCAGCUUUCUGCAUUAAGAGAGAGUUGAGACUUGGAGGCCUUUCCAUAACCCAUGAAGAAGAUGCUUCACGCAAACAUAAAGGAAGCGACUUUAUAGCUUCACAGUUCAAUAAUACAAGAAGAAGAAGCAUAAAAGAGACAGAGAGCUAGAGAGCUUGUGGUACCAAAAUAGUUGCUACUUAGUACUUGAAGCUUUUGCUAGAGUUUUUGAAAUGGAGAGGUAUGAGAUAGUGAAAGAUAUUGGUUCUGGGAACUUUGGUGUUGCAAAAUUGGUGAAGGACAAAUGGAGUGGUGAGCUCUAUGCCAUCAAGUUCAUUGAGAGAGGCCAGAAGGUAGAGAUUUUUUUUUUUUCAUCCCCUAUUUUUUCUUGAUCGAAGUCUUACUGUUUUGGGUUUAAGCUCAUUAAUCUCUUGUGGGUUUGUUUGUUUGUUCAUUUUUGUGAUCUGAGUUUGUGUUUAUUCCAACUGGGGUUUUGGUUUUAAUGAGGAAUUUCCUUGUGUUUUUUUACAGAUUGAUGAGCAUGUACAGAGAGAGAUCAUGAACCACAGGUCACUGAAGCAUCCAAAUAUCAUAAGAUUUAAGGAGGUAUGAUUCCUGUGUUUGAUCACACCUUUCUCAAUGAUAUGUUCUCUUUUGUGGAAUAGUACUAUUGGUAUCUCAAUGAGAAAAGAUUUGUGCCACUAACCCUAUUGGCCUGCAACUUAGAAGAAUUUUAGAAUCAAACUACUUUUUGGUCCAUCAUUCAACAUUAUUUUUCAAACUGUUUCCAAAGACUCAUUGGCCUUGGAAGAGGGCUAAAGUCAAAUAUUCAUCAUUUCCAAUUUGGCUUUGAAUUGUUCUGCCUCUCUAUCACUUGUUCUUGUUUUAUUUAAAAACUUGCGGAAAGUUUCUUGGUACAGUUUUUCUAGUACUGUAUAUCUUAUUUUCUGCUCGUAUGUGCAGGUCUUGUUAACACAAACCGAUUUAGCGAUUGUCAUGGAAUAUGCAGCAGGAGGAGAACUUUUUGAAAGAAUAUGCAAUGCUGGUAGAUUCAGUGAAGAUGAGGUAAUUGGAGCAAAGGCUGAAAUGAAUGGGAGCAGAUUUUCGUCGCGAUAAAUUUAUUUCUGUACAUUUAGGGUAUGAUAAUUUCGUUUUCUUCCAACCACAAAUCAUUUGGACUCUUAGUAGUUGAUUUGAAAUUUCAGGCCAGAUUUUUCUUCCAGCAGCUGAUUUCAGGAGUCAGUUACUGUCAUUCAAUGGUAAAAAGACUAACAUAAAAACUGUAACAUAAUUUUCUCUCUGGAAAUAUGCUUGGCCUCACAUCCUUUGCUGGUUUAAUCUGAAUGUAUUUUUAUUGCUGCAGCAAAUCUGUCACAGAGAUCUUAAACUGGAGAACACACUUCUAGAUUCAAGCUCAGCUCCACGUCUCAAAAUAUGUGAUUUCGGUUAUUCCAAGGUAAAUGAACUAAGCCGAGCAAUCAUGUUGAGUAGGGGUAAUUUUAGUUACAGUUACUAAUUACCUUUCUGCUUCAUGUUAUAGUCAUCUGUGCUGCAUUCACAACCCAAAUCAACUGUAGGAACACCUGCCUAUAUUGCACCAGAAGUCCUGUCAAAAAAAGAGUAUGAUGGGAAGGUAGUUUGUUGGUUUCUUUCUUCUGUUUUUGAGUUGGCCUUAUUGUGGACCAAAUUUUAGGUCACCGAAUUAUUGAGACUCUUAUUUUAUCUUUUGAGAAUCUUAGAUAGCAGAUGUUUGGUCUUGUGGGGUUACCCUAUAUGUGAUGCUGGUUGGUGCUUAUCCUUUUGAAGAUCCAGAAGAUCCCAGAAAUUUCAGGAAGACACUUCAGGUUCAUUGUUUUAUUGUAGUAGCAUUUUAGCUAGUUUUCCAAUUCUCGAGGCUCAAGACAUAUAACAUGCUAAUGGAUUUUGGCAGCGAAUUCUCAGCGUCAGCUAUUCAAUUCCUGACUAUGUACGCGUUUCCAGGGAAUGUACACAUCUUCUUUCUCGAAUUUUCGUUGCUAACCCCGAAAAGGUUUUACUACUUCUUAGAAUCAUAGCCAGCGAUUGAAUGUCUGUCUGUUGAUGUACAUUCCAGUUGAGUCAUUAGAAAUGUUUACCUUAACAUUUGAAUUCUAUGCAGAGAAUUACAAUCCCAGAGAUAAAGCAGCACCCCUGGUUUCUGAAAAAUUUACCAUCGGAAUUCAUGGAUGAAGAUGACAUGCAGAUUGGUGAGGUUCAGAAAAAUGAGAUUUCACAAAGUGUUGAAGAUAUAGUGUCCAUUAUUCAAGAGGCUCGAAAACUUGGUGAUGGCAUCAAAGUUGGACAUUUUCUUGGGAGCAUGGACCUUGAUGAGAUAGAUGAUGCCGACAUCGAUGAUAUAGAAACUAGUGGUGAUUUUGUAUGUGCGUUGUGAUCUGUAGUGGUGCAAAGUUCUUAUCAUAACACACCUUUAACACUUAGCAGCUUCUCAAGGCCAAAAACCUUUUUUCCCAAAAGGAAGUUGGAAGGAUGAGCCGAUGAGGCAUCUUCUUUUGAUGUUGGGGAAUCAAACUAUCUGUUGCAGAAAGUGUUGUUAUUUUCCUUUGCUUGGAAGUUUGCUCAAUCGGUCUGUUUAUCUUUUCUUCUUGUCUUUCUAAGAGAAUGCUAAUUUCAUUCUAAACAAAAUAGGACGAAUAACGUUGGAUAUUAUGAAUCAAAGUUGAAACAAUGGACUAUCAACCAAAUUGAAGUCCCUGUUAAAAGUUGAAACGAUAAAAGUAAUGCCAAGUAAACCACAUAUUAGAGGUACUCAAAGUUCCAACCCUUGACAUCUCGCAUACUAAGAUCUUAGGCUGUGUUGCUUUCGAUGUCCAUUUCUUUUUAUAGUCUACAUGAGAAAAGCUAAAUUUGCACAUUUUGGAAUUUCUUUCUGCUGGCAUCUCAUAGAAUAUCAAUAUCACUAUCUAUUAUCUACCUAAUCCAACUGCGAAUGAUUAAGACAGGGUACAUUAUUAAGAAACAAACCACAGAAAGAUCACAUAUAAUAUCAAGCUUUAUGAUAUCUUCUUAGUGGAUAGAGUUUAAAUAUCUUUCAUAUAAUAUUGCAAAGUCCAAUGGUUAGAACUUUGGAGGAAUCUGACCGAAUAAGGUGCAUUUGUAGAUUAAAUAUCCAAUAAACUGUGUCACAAUUUUGUUGCAUUCACCAUCUAACAUCGGAUUCUCAUUAAGAGAAGUUCAGAUACUUUGUGUAAAGGGGGAUUUACUUAAUUCUCAAUUUCUCAUCAUGAAAAAACUCAUUUAUGGAUAAGAGCUGGGACGGCUUUUCCAAUAUUCUGGCUUUGUUGAGAUGAUGAUCAUGAUUCAUGAAUACCCUGACAGUGAGCUUUCUGAGAGAAAGAGGAAAACAAACUUAAGCUGAUCAUCGUCCAACUUGGAAGAUGUCCACAUAUAGAAAGCAGAAGGUGAUUGCCUUCAUAGCGUGAUAAAGCAUAGUUGUUUAAAAAAAUCAGUGCAAGCAUGUUAAUUCCAGUAGUUGAGCUCAAAUGUCAACUGAAACAGCACAGUAUACAACAGUUAAUGUUUGAUACCUUCUACAGAGAAUAGUGACGACCAAGAUUACAAUGUAACUUCAGAAAGUAUUCGGUUUUUUGGGGAAAAAUCAAUAAACUUCUAAUGCCGAAUCAGGAUCAACUAGGACAGAAAUAAAAAAGUUUGGGCAUCAAUGUUUCCAAUCUUGAGUUCAAAUACCUGAAAUUGGAGAAGAGGUCAGGUUUGAACAGCAACUGUCUUGUAUCUCUUAGGCCUCUAUGUCUGAAAAGCGAUGGAUAAACAUUGAUAACCAUGCAUAAACGACGGACAUUCUCUUUUUAAGAUAACAAGAUGGAAUAGGCAGUGGUAACCAAGGUUUUCACUGUGCAUAUUGUCCUUACCUAUCAUGAUUCCGAAGAUUAAGGGUUGAAACAAAAUAUGUUUAAGUACUUGCACUACAGAAUUGUUUCUGUUUCCUUCUUUGGAGGCUGCUCUAACUUGGCAAUAUCAUCUUGCACGAUACCAUCAGUACUCAAAUGGGCAGACAAAGAAUCCGCAAUUUCUGUAAGCCCCUGUAAGAAAGUGACAAUCAGUACAAUAAACAGUAGAUCUUGAUGAUUCAAUUGUUGAGAUUCAGCAGCUGACAAGAUAGCAUAUUAUUGCAAUGUAAUCUAGAGUAUACAUCUCCCUGUCCUAUGUUCAGUGAUUCCAACCACGAUAAUGUCAAUAAACAUAAGUAAAAGGAUUCUAAGAAUACCAUCAUGCUUGGUUCUGAAUAUGAGAGCAAUCGGCCGUUCCGUGCAUUAUCAGAAAGUUUCAGUUGCUUCUGCAAGUAGAAAUAGUAAAUAUGAGUGUCCAUGAAAAUGUAAAUAGAAUAUAUAACAUUUAAAACACUGAUUCAGCUGCUUUGGAAAAUUAUUCUUUAAUCUACUAGUAAUGUUUCGUCCAAAAAAAAAAAAUCUACUAGUAAUGCAUUUCCUUAAAAUAAGCAUAAUGCUGAAGGCCCCCACAGCCACUUCGAGACCAAAAACAGAUUACACUUGCAAUUAACUUGAUGGCAGGGCAUAACUUUAAUGACGUUGUUAUCUAUCUCUGAUACAAUCAACAGUUCCUUUUCAACUUCCAUAACAGAAACAUGAAAGUACCAGCAUCAAUAAGACAUUACAGAUCCAAAGAGCAGGUACGAACCUGCAAAGCUCCAGGCAUUUCAACUUUUUUCCCGCUUACAAAGUUGCAGAGAUAAGCAACACCCAUAUUUACGAAAUCCUGCAUAGCAUAUAUAUGUCCGAACAACCUUAAGAAGACAGAAGAUGUAUAUGGUAGUUGCCACAGAAAGUUUUAUGAAGGCAAAUCCUAAUUUUACUUAAAAUGUUGCUGAAAGUUUUGAACUUGCAGAUAGGGGAAAUUAAAGUAUAAAGGAAAGCGUCAUAACACAUAAAUCCUAUAGUUUCUCAUUAAUUAGUUAUGGCUUCUCUAUUUAUUACAAAAUCAAGCAUUUACCUGCUUGUCUUCAAGAGAACAUAUCUUCCAAUCCUGAGAAAAGAGAAGAUGAAACAACGUUACAAUGAAUAAAAGCAAAAAUACAGAGAAAGAGGGAGAAAUAAUAAAGAGCCCAUGUAACACAGCAAGAAUGGUCUCAUUGAGGAGCAACAUGGAAACAUAGAGAAGACAAUCAUGUUGAAGCAUAACUCACCAGACCAGAAACCAAGCUCUGCAGUUGACUCAAGGUAAAGUCCAUUUCAGUCAGAGAAUAUUGCACCCCAGCAACCUGUGUCACAAGUUGCAAACAAAUUCAGUGAUGCUGAUAACCAAUAGUUAUAUACUCUUAUGACUAAUUUCAUACAGUAAUACUUAUUCCAACAUAUACCCAUAUCCAUAUCAGAAAUCACACACUACAGGUUUCCACUUACAUCAAAUUGGACUGACCCUUGAUAAAAACUGAACUUUGAACAUUUGAGACAUCAGACAUCAGAUAUGAGAAGUGAUGACGGAUACUUACAUAGACAUUGAAGAAACAGUUCUGUAAACUUUAACCGUAUUGAAAAUUUUCCUUUUUAACACUAAAAUUACCCACUGAACAUGGAAUUUAACAAAGAUGAGCCUCAUCAAACAUGUAAAAGGAUAAGCAUGUAUUCGAUAUAUAAUCAUUUGAUCUAAGAAUUAACAAAUAAAAGUAGCUGGCUUAAUAGUUGAUUUGCAACCAAAUAUCCUAGUGAUUUGAUAGACAAAUGAAAAUGUAAGAAGAGACGUUUGACAAGUAUUCUUUUUUCAUACCUUCAAGCAUUCAGGUAGCAUGAAGGCAUCAUCAUUUGUUCUCACAUGAGUCUGCAAAACCACAAAACCACAUCAAUGACAAUCUAGAUAUAUUUCAUAUUUUCAUGGUAGCAUAAUGCCUCAGAUAGUACAGCAUGAUUUAUGAAACUUAAAGAGAAUCAAGUCCGUGAAAAGAGAAAAAAAGAAAAAGAAAAGACACAGACCAGUCUAGAUGCUUCUGAUAACUUUAUGUCAGGUGGGUCAAGGCAGCUUCAUUCCCACAGACACUUUGAUUGUUGAAUAUAGUUAGAAGUAAUGUUGGUUCUUACAUCCAUGAUUUGUUGGCGCUAUGCAUCAUUUCCUUCCAAAGAAGCCAACAAGACGAGUGAAGCUGCAACUAUUGAGGGCCAGUAACAUAACUGUCCAGGGUCUGAAAGCUGCAGCAUUGCCAAGUACUUGGCCCUCGUGUCUACCUCUUCAUCAGCUUGCAGGUAGAACCUAUUUAUUUUAUUUUUGAGUUAUAAAUUAGUAAUGUAAUUCGAGGAAAAAAAGAUGGCAAGAACCUCUCAACCAAGAAACAAUUGCCAUGCAUCAACCUAGGGUAUGUUAAACAAAUGAGAUUAUGAGCCUGAGUAUCAAGAUUAUGCCAUGUGUUGCAUGCAGCAGAAGCAGCAUGGUUUUUAUCUUUAGAUGAGAAACAAUUAGACAGAGAUUUACCAUAAGAGGUUAUAGCUGGUGGGCAGAAAGCACUGGGAGUUGAGAACCUCGAGCACAAGCAAUUGCCACCACUUCACAUCUGCUGUACAUUGCUUCCUACAUAGAAACUCUUUUCCCGCACACUGAAAUUGAGAUCAGAAAGGUUGUAUUAGAAGGCAACAAUGAUGAGUAAUGCUUUGCCAGUCUCAAUUUCAAUUGUUAUUGUAGUAGUAAUUAAACAAGUUGAGUCAAAGUUGUGACAUUGAGCUUUGACUCCAAGCUAGUUUUUCAUCUCAAUUCUUUUUCAGAUAAGUAGCUUACAGAAGGAAUGGAACUUCUUUAAUAACAAAAGAAAGACUAAAGGCACCAUAUCAUCUAGUUUAUAUGGAACGAGACAAGAUACAAGGUCUGAGAACAUAUGUACCUGUUGUAGGGCUGGUUUUCUUCUACCUGGUGGCCAACGUUAGACCAGCAAUUCCAACUUCUGCUCUUGAAAAAUCCUUUGCUUAAAAAUUGGUAAAGGAGGUUCACACUUAGAAACUUGGUCUCCUGUGGCCGUAGAUAUCUGUGGUUGUAACCCUCAGGCAAUUUAACAAACACAAUAUGAGCAACACAAGACAAUCAGCUAACCCACACUCCCACACACCCACUAUAAUCAUGAUGGUAUAUAUUAUAAUAUUUACUUCAACAAAUCACUCUCCUAUUACCCACAAAAGCAGAAAGCAAAAACAGCAUUACCUUCAAUUCACAGAGAUAUAAACUGAAUCUUGAAGUUGUGCAUCAGAUAGAGAUAUAAAAUGGAACACUUUGUUUUUUUUUUUUUUUUUUUUGUUUUCCCAACCAAAACACGAUUACUCUCUUGGUUGGACACAGUCAGGUGCCAUGUGAAUCUUAGGCAAUUUACAGCCAAAUCCUAGUUCCAACUAAUUAUUAUCAUAAAAAUCCAAUAAUCACAAAAUAAAUCAAAUAGAAGAUGGUAUACAAUCAACAGGAAAUUAUAAACUGUACUCGAAACACCACGUAGCAUUUAGUCCCUUCUAAUACUAUUGGUCUAAGCGUUUUUAUCUUAUUUCUGAUUGAUCUAUUUAUUUACCUCUCCUUUUUAUUUCACCCCAUGUUGGUCCCCACAGGAAAUUAAGUUAUAUAAUUAGCCAGGUACACCACAUAGCAGUGCCACGUGGUGUUCUGGGUACAAGGAAUAAUUACUUUACAUUGCAUGAAUUUAAGGCAAGAAAUGGAAGUAAAUAACACAAAUUUCACAAACAAAGAGUAUAUGCUUCAUUUCUUAAUUUUUUUUCAGGACUGAGUACAUAGAAAGUUAACAUAGAGUGACCAUUUUCAUAGAUCAAAAUUAGAGAACAGAAUCUAAACAUAAGACAAAACAUUCACGCAAUUUUGUCCUCAAGUUGUAAAAUGAGUCCUUAAAGUAUUAAUAUUAGUCGUCAAAGUUGUAAUAUAAGUCCUUAAAAUUGUAAAAAAAUUUAGUUACAACAUUAGUCAUCAUUUGUCCUUAAAGUGGUAAGAGUCUUCAAAGUUGUAAUAUAAGUCUUAAAAGUUGUAACAACUUUUUUUUAAUCACUUUGAGGACUCAAUUACCACUUUAAGGACACAUGAUAACUAAUGUUGUAACUAGAAAAUUUUACAACUUUAAGGACUCAUAUUAUGACUUCGAGGACUAAUAUUACAAGUUUGAGGACUUCAUUUACAAAGUUGAUGCAUUACAUGCAUUAACACACUUUAGAAUUUUCCUAUUUCUACAACACAUCUCAUAAAUACUGCACUUACAUAAGGCAAAACAAACAAAUAAUCAUAGGUAGUAUAAUCCCCUAGACCAGUAAAGUUGCUUUCUAGAGUUUUUGUUCAAUCGACCCGGUUAACGGGCCCAAAGAUAGCCUAAACCGACCCACACACUCCACAUCUCACAAAACCUAAAACCCCUGAUUUCUUCCUCAUUUCUCCAUCACCGCAUCACCUAUUCAUCUCACCUAAUUUCUAUUCUUCCGAUCAUGGAUGCCUCUUCCUCCUGCUCCUCCAAACCCACAGAUCACCUCACUAUUAAACUUAGUGAUCUAUCUUUGAACGAGAGAAACCCGUCUCCUCCUGCGGUUCCGCCGUUAAUAGCUGAAGUUCAGGCUUCUAUCGUCAAUGAGCAUGCUAGAGUUAUGCAUGCUCACAGCUUUGUUUUGAACCAGAAGGAGUUACUUUUUCCAUUGUUGAAGGGUGACUUUCUUUGGUUCUCUGUGGAGGAGAUUGCAUCUUUGAAGGAACAUAUGCACUCUAUGGAGGAGCAGCUCGUUGCUGUGAAGAAGGAGAUUACUGAGGUUGAGAAGAAGAUUACUGAUGUGGAGGUGGACGUGAUGUGGUCGGAGGAGUUAUGUUCGUGGAUUCUUGACUAUCAGUUGUUGAUUAUGGAGUCUCAGAGCUCCAUCUGGUGGAUCUGUACGUCAUUCAUGAUUUGGUAUUCAACAUUUAUGAACAAUGGCAGAACUAGAAUUUUGAAAUGGGGUGGGCUGAAUUUUUUUAUUAGAGUUAUCUAAUUUGUUUUUUUAAGUUAUACAUGUCAUAUCUUAGUUUAAAAACAUAUGAAACAAUCAAGUAGUAAACUGAUUAAACAUAAUUCAACAUAAUAUCAUUUGACAUAAUCAAAAAUUAAGAAAACAAACACUACUCUAGCUACUGAUUAAACAAAUCUUUAAUCUUCAAACCUUAAUUGGAAAAGAAAAAUACAUUCAGUCAACACUUCUUAAAAAAAAAAGACACAAUUGAAGAACUAUGAAAUCAAAUGGAUUAAUUCAUUGAGGAAUUAAGCAAUUGGGAACUAAAAUCAAAAAUAAAAAUAUAUAUGACCAAUCAUAUACACAAACAUCCAAAUACUAUCUUGUUUUAGGCAUAAUAAAAAAAUAGUUCAAAAUGAGUCCUUAAAGUAGUAAUAUUAGUCCUCAAAGUUGUAAUAUGAGUCCUUAAAAUUGUAAAAAAAAUUUAGUUACAACAUUACUACAUUAGUCAUCAUUUGUCCUUAAAGUGGUAAUUCAGUCAUCAAAGUUGUAAUAUAAGUUCUAAAAGUUGUAACAACUUUUUUUUGUUCACUUUGAGGACUCAAUUAUCACUUUAAGGACAUAUGAUAACUAUUGUUGUAAGUAGAAAAUUUUAUAACUUUAAAGACUCAUAUUAUAACUUCGAUGACAAAUAUUACUAGUUUAAUGACUCAAUUUACAAAAUUGAUGCAUCACAUCAUUCAUAUGCAUUAAUACUUUAUGGUAAUUCCUUUCCUUCAACGUUCCCAAACACAAGAAAUGAACAACUUUUAUUUCCUAAUGGUUACUUUCCGCAAACAAAACGAGGCCUAAGUGCAUGCUUAUUUGGGUGUAAAGAUUGCCACACGCAUACUUGGACGGCUACCAUGUCAUAUAUUUGAUCUUACGACUAGAGUAACUGAGUAAUUAUCUUAUAUUGAUUUGUGGCUUUAUAACCAUGAAUUUUGAUAAGCAAUUUGUCACAUCCCGACCCUUAAAUUUUUACCUUAUUUACUAGCUUGGUUAAAUUAAGAAUUUUACCGUCUCCGUCAUUGAGGUUAUAUGUUAAUUGGUCCCUAGAGGGGUUUGGGGGAUGGUUAUUUACGGAUAAUUAUUCGUAGGAGAAAAAUAUGACGACGGUAAAAAUGGUAAAUUUUAGCUAGUAAAAGGUAAUUUUUAUUAGGGUAUUAUUUUUCGAGGUGUUUUAUUUUGGAGUUGGUGUGGGUAUAUAGGUGUUGGACCGGUUUGGAGAGGCCCAAACCCAUCUCCCUCUCUUUCUCUUCUUUCUCUCUCCCUCCCGACUUCUCUCCCGAGCUCUCCCAACCCGGAGACUUUCCGGCCGCCGUCCGCCGCCGUCCGGCCACCCUUGGCGACGAGACCACCGCCGUUCUCUUCCUCUCCUUUCUAGCCUAGCCUGGGGAUCACGCAAGCGAACCGAAUCAAAGGGAUCGAAGCUGUUGAACACGACUGUGUUCGUCAGAUUCCGGCCAACUCAGGCGGCGACGACGGCAACGAACGGUAGGGUUCUUCUCCCCUGUUCUUCUCCUUUCUUUCUAUGCCUUUCACUCUUCAAAUCGAGUUCAAAUUCGGAAAACCCUUUGGUGUAUUAGGUUUUCGUCGAGGUUUUCCGGGGGGUUGUUCUUGGAGCUUCAACGGGACUACCGAGCUCCGGUGAGUCUAUGAAUGGUUGAGUGGAGCUCAGUCGCACCUUGGAGGGAUUUAAGAGCAGCAGCAGUGGUUUGAGAUUUGAGCAGAGACUUGAGUUCUCAAUCCGGGAUUUUGGUCGGACUUCAAACUUCGUCUUCAAAAGAAAAUCCGGCAAGGAGGAAGUUCUUGGGGCUCAAUGUUUGGCAGAUUGAAGGUGAGUGUUAAGCUGUGAAGUUGUGUUGUUGUUAUUGUUGUGUUUUGUUGUUGAGGUGUUGAUCCGGUUGUUUUGGUUGUUGUUGUCAAGAACUUGGUGCUUUGAAGAUUGCAGGGAGGUCAUGGCCAAUUUCCGGCAAGUGGCCGGAUUCUGGUAGAAUAUUCCGGUCAAUCGUCCGAAUCCGGUGAAAGGUUCUGGCGAGGCAGUGUUUCCAGUUGAGAGUUGUGAAGGUAGUAUUGAGUUGGAUAAUUGUUACUAAUGCCUUAAGAGGAAUUUUGAUGUUGGAGUUUAAAAUUUGUGGUCUUGAAGUCUAGGCAUAAUGUGAAGUGGGAUAGUAGGGAAAGUGUGAAGUCGUUGGUAUUUGCAGAUUGUUUAAAAGUAUUAAGUAGAGAAUGAGCUUGAGUCUAGUUUGAUUUUGAAAUGAGCUAAAUUAUACUAUGGGUGUCCAUAGUGAUUUUGCGUUUAAUUUAUUACUUGACGAAAUGGUGAAAUAGUUUGGUUGUCACGCUAUGGGCUUGGAAUUUCAAAGAGAACUUGUUUCCAAGUUGAGGUUACGGAACUUGAGCAAAAUGAGUUCUGGAUGUGUAAUUGGUUAAAAAUAAUAUUUAAAUCAAUUGGUCAAUCCUGGUCAACCUAGGGAAUUCUAAUCAAGCUAGGAAGAAGUCGAGUCAAUGAUUAUUUCGGAAUCCGGUUUGACCGAUUUACUUUGCUGUUUAUCAUCAGACGUGGGAUUGACUCGAGAUUGUGAGUAGUUGGAGGCAACGCUCGAGGAGUAUUCCGGGCAUUGGAAGGCUUAGGCCUAGUAUUGUGAGUGGACUUUUGUUUUAAAUAAUGUGCAUGCGAAAUAAUUUAUGUUGUUGGAGAAUAACCGAAAUUGAGAAUUUCGGUGAGUAUAUAUAUAUAUAUAUCCAUAUUUGGAUGAUUAUUAGAAUAAUAUGUAUAUGAUGAAAUGUUAGCUAGCUAUACGUGCUUUUCCACCAUACUGAGAUAAAAUUUCAUUAUGGUGAGACGUGAGCGUUAGACGCAAUCGUCGUAGCCCUAUAUAAAUAUAAUAAUUUAUAUAGGGGAUAUGCGCGUAUAUAUUUAUACAUCGUCUUUUCCACCAUAAUGAGGUAAAAUGUCAUUAUGGUGCGAAGUGAGCGUUAGACGCAAGCGUCGUAGUCUUGUGUGAAUUUUCUAUUUGUGUUUGUUGUUUCAAGAAAAUUCAUACAAGGGAUAUGAUGAGUGUAGUACAUACAUAUUUUAUUUUAGUCUGAGAGGCUUUUAUUUUUUUAUGAGGUGUUUGAGACUAGCGCGGCUAGUAACCUUUUGGAAAAUUUUUUUAAAAGCUUUUGAGCUGGUUGCAUGCCAUUAAUUGUUUUUCCACUGAAGUUAAAUCGGGAAAGCAUAAAGAAUAUUUUCAUUAAACUUAUUUUUGUCCACUCACUCUAACGUGUUUCAAAUGUUUUCCCCUGGGCCCUUCGUUUUAAAAUGCCUAGUUUACAGGAUUGCAUAGUUGAGUUCGGGCGUAUAUGGAGAUGAGGCAUAGUCAUCAUAUAGCUUCCGCUUGUUAAUUUAUUAUGUUUCCUUUUUUCAUAUUAGAGUUGCUCUGAACCUAUAAAUGGUUGGAUAUGGGAUUUGUGUAGAUAUUUAAAUAAUUUGGGAGAUGUUGUGUUGGGGAGCAUGAAGGCUCCAGGAGUAGAGGGUUCUAGAUGGAUUCUUUUGAAGUGUAUACAUGUAUUAUUAGGAAGGGUUGUCCGUUUUCAAGGGAGGUUAUGCCGAUUUUUUUGUAAACUUUCCUUAGAGGUGGUCCCCGUAGGAUUUACUUCGGGUUUCAGGGUGAAAUUCAGGGUGGGUCUUGACACAAUUAGUUAUGUUCUGUCUAUCAAGUUGUGAUUGAAGAUGUUGAGAAUCAAGUUUAGCAACUAGAACUGUUGAAUUGAAUUUUGAAGACAAAUCGAUGCAAUCCUUGUUCCCUUAAAUUUUCUGAGUUUCUUUCAAGUUUUUGCAAGAAGGAUUCAAGGAGGAUGAAGCAUCACAUUUUCGAAUUUUGGACAUGACACUAUUUGAGUUAAGAGUCUUUUCUCUCUUUUAUACUAUUAGAAAGGUCCCUACUUUUUCCUUAGGUUUUAGGAGUCUAAAGCUAUAGUGGUAAGCAUUUCAUUCUAUUUUUUGAUUUGUAUCAUUUAAUAUUUUUUUAUAUGCUUGUGCUAUAUGCAAAUGUUGACUAUAUGCUAAAUGAUUAAGCAUGAAACGAAGAUAGCAAAGAGAAUAAUAUAACUAUUGUAUCGUAUUUCAUGAUAUGAGCCUUAUUUGCAAGGAAUUACAAAGCACGUUUCAGGUAGUUGCGAGAAUGUUGUCUCAACUGAGGUAGUAAAGAAGCUUUAAUUAAAGCAAGUGAAGCAUCCAAAACCUUACAAGCUCUCAUGGUUCAAGAAGGGUAAUGAGGUAAUAGUUGAUACAGUGGCCUUAUAUCAUUUUCCAUUGGAAAAAAGUACUUGAAUGAGGUUUGGUGUGAUGUCGUUACAAUGGAUGCUUGUCAAGUUCUACUGGGAAGACCAUGGCAGUAUGAUAGAGGUGCUAUUCACGAUGGCAGAAAGAAUACCUAUACUUUUUGGAAGUAUAAGGUGAAGAUAGUAUUACCACCAAUGAAGGAUGAUGGGCUUCCAAAACAAAAGGCAGCACCAAAGAGAGACAAUUUCCUUUCAGUCACCAACUUCCUUCAAGAAGUUGAAGAAGCUGGAGUAUGCUUUGCUUUGAUUGCAAAGGAAGGCGGCCCUAUUUCAUCUAUUCUAGAAGAAGUAAUGCCUCUAAUCGAGGAAUUUGCAAAUGUAUUACCAGAAGAUCUUCCACCAGGGUUGCCGCCAUUGAGAGACAUUCAACAUCAAAUUGAUCUUAUACCCAGUGCUAGCCUUCCAAAUAAAGCAGAGUCCAAAAGAGCAUGAGGAGCUGCAAAGGCAAGUGACACAAUGAAGAAAGGCUUGAUUAGAGAAAGUUUAAGCCCUUGUGCAGUUCCAGCCUUGUUGACUCCCAAGAAGGAUGAAACGUGGAGGAUCUGCAUGGAUAGUAAGACAAUCAACCUGAUCAUUGUCCGGUAUCGGUACCCAAUUCCUUACCUUGAUGAUAUGCUAGAUCAUUUAGGAGGUUCUAAAGUAUUCUCCAAGAUAGAUUUGCGCAGUGCCUACCAUCAAAUCCAUAUCCGACCUUGAGAUGAGUGAAAAACAUCAUUAAAAACCCGUGAAAGGCUGUAUGAAUGGAUGGUGAUGUCGUUUGGCUUAUGCUAUGCGCCUAGCACAUUUAUGCGGGUAAUGAAUCAGAUUCUAAAGCCUUAUAUUGGAAGAUUUGUUGUGGUUUACUUUGAUGAUAUACUUGUCUAUAGCCCAUCUUGCAAUGCUCACAAACAACAUUUAAGGGAAGUUCUUGAAACACUUCGGAAGGAACAACUGUAUGAUAACCUAAAGAAGUGCAUGUUCAUGACUGAAGAAGUUACUUUUCUCGGUAAUGUGAUGUCUAGUGAAGGAAUUUCCAUGGAUCCAUCGAAGGUAAAAGCCAUACCUGACUGGCCUAUGCCUCAAAACAUACACGAAGUUAGAAGUUUCCAUGGCCUAGCUUCAUUUUAUAAGCGAUUCAUUCCGAAUUUUAGCAGCUUGGUUGCCCCAAUUACUGAUUGUUUAAAGACAAAUCAGAAAUGUUGUUAGACAUCGGCAACAACAUAAAAUUUUGAGCUUUUAAAGAAAAAUAUAUGUGAAGCACCAGUCCUUGCUCUACCAAAUUUCGAGAAGGUAUUCCAAGUGGAUUGUGAUGCUUCAAGAGUAGGAAUCAGAGCUGUGCUAAGCUAAGAAGGACCAAAUGCCUUCUUCAACGAGAAACUCAUUGGUGCAAAGCUUCGGUGGAGUACCUAUGACAUUGAACUCUAUGCAACAGUUAGAGCCAUAUGGCAUUGGAGUGAAUACUUGGCUCAUAGAGAGUUCAUUCUCUACUAUGAUCAUGUGGCUUUGAAAUUCAUUAAGGGGGAAUCAAAAUUGACAAGAAAGCACGCAAGCUGGGUGAGCUUCCUGGGACAGUUCAAUUACUCAAUAAAGCACAAGGCGGCAGUUCAAAAUAAGGUGGCUGAUGCACUGAGCCGAAAAGCUUCUCUUUUGUCUACUGUUUAUGUUGAGGUGAAGGGGUUUGAAGCACUCAAAGACCGGUACAAGGAAGAUCCUUAUUUGACACCAAUAUUAAAGUGCUCAUUUGUAACACCCUGACCCAGGUGUUAGAAAAAAAAUAAGCGAAUAAAAUAAAUAAGAAAAUCAUAAAUUCAAAAUGAGAUAGGAUUUGGAACUUAAAUUUUGUUUUUUUUUAUUUGCGGCUGCACCCAAAACUUGAUCGGGCUACCUACGUACCCUUUUUAAAGGGAUCAAGCCCCUCGUAGUUCAACUUUUAUACUAUUUCUCUAAGCAUCGGAAAAUCCGAAGCUUAACCAACAUAUCUCACAAAUUCGUCAAAUAGAAUUUCAAAGAAAAAUUGCAUAAUUACUAUGGACACCCAUAGUCAUACUUCAGGCAUUUAUAUUCCAAAGUUCUAUCAAGAGAUUAACAAAUCAAGAAUCCAAAAUCAUCACCACUGCCUGCGCAGAAGCACUCACAGCCAACAACUACACUGCUUAAACCCAAAUUUCCCAUGAUACAAUCUAAACUCGAAUUCAAUUAUACAAGGAGCUAAAGCUCCGCAAAUGAACUGAAUUUGAUACCUUAACACGAUUCAUCAAGUCAAUUAAAGUGUUCAUAAUAAGUAGGUUGUAAGAUAUGCCCCCACUUAAAACAGUAGUUUCGUAAUCUUCAUGAAAUCAAAACACAAGGUCCAAAUAAUGGAGUUUUCUCAAGUUGUGAUCAUGAUCUCACGGUAUUAACAUCCAAUCACAAACUAUAACAAUAGUUUAGUAUAAUUGUCAUUCAAAUUCUCACGUCCACACCAGCCUUUGAUGACCACAGAUUCACUUAUAACCAAUCUAGAUCAAACACGAGCAACCCAUAUUCAAAUACAUCUAGCUUCCGGGUAUAGUUUUCAAAUUUACCUUCGAUAUCAAGAAGAUUUAAGGCAGAAAUUUCAACCAUUGGUCUGCACCCAAAUUAACACAGUAGUGCCCAAAGUGUGAGUUAACUUACUUCACUUGAACCCGGGUUGCACUGUUCUUGGCUUGGAACUGGAAAACUUGCAAUUGAAAUUGUACUGGAACUCUGACUCGGCACCAAUUUCGAGUUAGUCCGAUCGAUGGCGGCAUUUCCGUCGAUGCCCAAAACCUCCCUUUGACAAGACAAGUAGAGGAGUUCGGAGUUCUCCCCCUUUCUCCUUCGCCCGAGAUCAGCGAGCAAAUUCAGAGAGAGAGAGAGUUCGGUGAGUUAUGUAGACUGAGGAGGCACGGUGGAGAAGGUCGAUGAAGACUCGUCCUUUUUCUCCACUUUUCUCGAUCCUUUGUUCCUCCUCCCCUUUCCCGAUUCUUCCUCUCUUGUUAUUUAUUUAUUUCCUAUCUUAUACAUAUGUGGCACACAUAUACAUAUCCACUUACUUUUAUAUUAUCAGUCAUCAAGUCGAUGACAUAUUUAAUGGUCGAAAUUUCUCUUUUAACACAUCGGAUUAUAAUUAUACAAUUUAUUUCACAAAUAACAUAUGCAGGGUAUUACAUCAUUGGCUAGUCAGCAAACCGGUUUUAACAUAUAUGAUGGAUAUCUUUUCAUGGGUGAUCAGUUAUGCAUCCCACAAGGCUCUUUGAGAGAAAAAAUUGUCAAGGAACUUCAUCAAGAAGGCCAUUUCGGUCGAGACAAGACAUUAUCUCUAAUCAGUUCAACUUACUGGUGGCCGAAGUUGAAGCGUGAUGUCACAAGGCAAGUGAAGCGUUGUCAUAUGUGUCAAAGAAGUAAAAAGGGUUUUGACAAAUGCUAGGUUAUACACUCCACUUCCUACUCCUAAAUCUGCAUGUACAGAUGUGAGCAUGGAUUUUUCCUUGGUCUUCCUAGAACUCAAAGAAGAGCAGACUCAAUCAUGGUGGUGGUGGACAGAUUCUCAAAGAUGGCUCAUUUUGUUCCUUGUCGAAAAAUCAUGGAUGCAACCAAUGUGGCUAAUCUGUUCUUUAAGGAGGUGGUUCGUUUGCAUGGUUUACCAAGCAGCAUCACUUCAGAUCAGGAUCCGAAGUUUAUCAGCCACUUUUGGAGGACCCUAUUGAUAGGAGCACAAAGUGUGACGUUCUUAAUAUGUUUAUACCCUUUAUUUACCCUUUGUUAACUCCUAUUUAGUUGUUUUAGCUUUAUAUUUGUGUUUAGUGUAGAAUAAUUGCUUAAUUUAGAAAUAUGUAGUUUUUAGUAUUAGAAUACAUAGUAUUUUCGGAUUUGAAUAAUUUGGUGUUGAAAUUGUGCUCAGUGUUGGAAACCCUUGUUUACUCAGGAUUCCUGUCUUGAUCAAGAUUCCAUCUUUCCUUGAAGCCUAGUCCAUGAAGGAGAGGUCCAAACCAAGUCCAAUAUGGAGAAGAAGAUCUAAAUUCGGCAGAAUUUCAAGAAUAUCCAAGCCCUUGAAAUCCGGAUUAAAUCGGGAGAAUUCCUGUACACGUCUGUCAACUUCAACGGACUCUCCAGGACAGCUCACAAUGAAUCAGAAAACGUGCCAGAUAUGGAUAGAAAGCUACGGGAGUCUAGUUUCCAAAUCAAUUGGAAUCACCUCAAUAUCUGUUUUCUAGAGGGAGUUAUGACGCAAUCAUCAGACGGAGGUCAUUCUGCCGAAAGGAGAAAAACUANNNNNNNNNNNNNNNNNNNNNNNNNNNNNNNNNNNNNNNNNNNNNNNNNNNNNNNNNNNNNNNNNNNNNNNNNNNNNNNNNNNNNNNNNNNNNNNNNNNNNNNNNNNNNNNNNNNNNNNNNNNNNNNNNNNNNNNNNNNNNNNNNNNNNNNNNNNNNNNNNNNNNNNNNNNNNNNNNNNNNNNNNNNNNNNNNNNNNNNNNNNNNNNNNNNNNNNNNNNNNNNNNNNNNNNNNNNNNNNNNNNNNNNNNNNNNNNNNNNNNNNNNNNNNNNNNNNNNNNNNNNNNNNNNNNNNNNNNNNNNNNNNNNNNNNNNNNNNNNNNNNNNNNNNNNNNNNNNNNNNNNNNNNNNNNNNNNNNNNNNNNNNNNNNNNNNNNNNNNNNNNNNNNNNNNNNNNNNNNNNNNNNNNNNNNNNNNNNNNNNNNNNNNNNNNNNNNNNNNNNNNNNNNNNNNNNNNNNNNNNNNNNNNNNNNNNNNNNNNNNNNNNNNNNNNNNNNNNNNNNNNNNNNNNNNNNNNNNNNNNNNNNNNNNNNNNNNNNNNNNNNNNNNNNNNNNNNNNNNNNNNNNNNNNNNNNNNNNNNNNNNNNNNNNNNNNNNNNNNNNNNNNNNNNNNNNNNNNNNNNNNNNNNNNNNNNNNNNNNNNNNNNNNNNNNNNNNNNNNNNNNNNNNNNNNNNNNNNNNNNNNNNNNNNNNNNNNNNNNNNNNNNNNNNNNNNNNNNNNNNNNNNNNNNNNNNACCCGUAGUCUAAUUCUAAGUUGGUCUAUGUCAUAGGAACCACGUAGGAACUUAUGUGCAUAUCAAAUUUAGGUUGUAUAUUUGCUCACGGUGUAGACUUAAAUGAGAUUAGAAAUCGUCUUCUUUAUUCUUGCAUGGUUGUUUGGUUGAGUUUGCAUGAAUGUUGGUUGAUCACAUGUAUAUAUGUAUAGAAGUAAUUUAGGAUUUAUUAUUAAUAUUGUUCCGAAAUCAUAAAACCUUUAAACCUAUAUGCUUAUUUCGAUACUUACAUUAGAUUAGAUGGAUCUACCCUGUAGUUGGAUCCCCGGUUUAGAACGAUCCCUGCUUGCUUUAUACUACGAUUGAUUUGUUGACAGGGUUAAUUGAUGCGUGUGCAAAUACGUCUUAUCACCUAUGAAGGAUCAUUGGAACUAAGUUGUGUUUCAGCAGUGCUUAGCAUCCACAAACUGAUGGUCAAACAUAAGUUAUCAAUCGAAGUUUGGGUAAUAUGCUUCGAUGUCUGGCUGGUGAUAAGCCUAAGGAAUGGGACUUGGUGUUACCCCACGUUGAGUUUGCCUUCAACAGAUCGAAAAAUCGAACCACAAAGUGCAGUCCUUUCCAAGUAGUGUAUGGGCAGAAUUCAAAUAAUGUUCUAUAUUUGACGCCUCUUCCAAACCCAAGCAAGGUGAGCAGGAAGGCAGAAGAAAUGGCUGAUUACAUCAAAUCCAUCCAUAAAGAAGUGAGGAAAAGGAUUGAAGAGACCAACCUAAAGUACAAGGUUGCAGCUGAUCAACACAGAAGAAGGGUUGUGUCUGAAGAAGGUGACGAGGUCUGGGCAGUUUUGACAAAGGACAGGUUUCCUACCGAAGCCUACAAUAAGCUUAAAGACCGUAAAGUUGGUCCAUGCAAAAUUCUCAAGAAGAUAAACGAUAAUCAACUAUAACUCCUGAGCCAUGUGAAGACUUCAGAUGUCUUCAAUGCCAAGCACCUCUGCCCGUACAAACUCAAGGACGAGUUUUCUGCAACCCGGGGAGAAUGAAGCAGUCAGUAAUUAGUUUGGAGAGACUUAAGGUUCCUCCUAGAACCUAGAGUCUUAUUAAAUGUUAUUGUCUUUAUCUUUUUAUCUGUCAUUAUUCUAGUGUUUCGUGCAGUCUUUAGCUAGAGGGUUCUAGAGCCUUAGUGCAUUUAUUGCAAGUAGUUGAGUUAGGGUUAUUUAAAGGGGUUGUAGCUUAUGUUUGUCUUCAAUUCUGAAAAUUCAAAAACAUUAGUUUAUCAAAAACCUAGUCUUUUCAACUCUAAGGGUUCAGUGUUCAACCCUUUUUACUAUCCCUAGUUACUUCCAGCUUCAGAUUCUACUAAGGGCCUGCAUCAGUCAGGGGUGUGUGGAUUGUAAUUUUGGGUGUAAAUUUCACUCUCAUCUAAUUGAUAUUUUAGCAAACUACAUAUUAGUUACUAACCAAAUUUCAGUUUACAAAUACAUCCAUUUACACAAUAUUUUACACAUUUAAAGACAAAAAUUAACAAAUCAGGACAAGUUGAUGUCCACAUGCCAUCUGUCACCAUGUAUUUCACCAGAAUACCCUUCAUUACAUAUUCUACUGCUACUAUCGUCGAGAAAUGUGCUACUGCCGAGUAGGAAUGUGCUACUGACGAGAAAAGUGCUAUUGCCGAUGCUAUUGCAAUUUUUUUUUCUGGAAAUUCUCCGGAACCAAAUAAAGUUGUUAUUGUCGAUUUAGAAGCUACUACUGUUGACUACAAAGCUAGCUGCAACUGUUAUUGUUUAAAUCAUUAUUGCAAUGUUGUUACUGUUAAAAUCUGUGUUUUGCUGCUACUAUUAAAAUCAUUACAGCAGUGAUGCUACUGCUACUAUUAAAAUCAUUGUUUUGCUGCUACUGUUAAAAUCAUUACAGCAGUGAUGCUACUGUUAAAAUCAUUACAGCAGUGAUGCUACUGUUAUUGUUCGUGUAUUGCAUCAUCAAGCAUUUUGAUUUUUGACACAGUAGCAUCAAACCACCUUCAUACACCAAUUCAAUCAAGCUUUUUUAUACUAAUUACAAGUAGCCUCAAACCUUUUCCUCGCAAACACUUCUAUACAUGUCCCCACCAACACAGUAGCAACAAGCCUUUGACACAAACAUCAAGCUGUUAGAUUUUGUAUUAACGGACAAAGAGAAAGAGAAAGAGGGAGAUAAAGGAGCGAGAGAGAUGGAGAGAGGUGUACCAAUUACAAGGACUCCACCAACGAGAUCUUUAAGCUGGCACGGUCGUCGAACUACCGUCAUCUUUUGUCGUCAAACUCCAAUGCCGGUACCGUGAUCUACAACAUCGCAGUCCACUCUUUUGAUAACUCCGAGCCCGAUCUCGACCUUCUUCCUCAUCGUCGAUGAGCAUGAUGGAACAACGAACCAUGACAGCCGCACUUGUACUACCAAAACUAUUCGAACAAGAUCCAAUCUACGUGGAGAGAGAGAGAGAGAGAGAGAGAGAGAGGUUUGACAGGAAAAAUAAUUAGGUCUCAGGCUUGUGUCUUAAUUUGUUAAAAAAAAUUGAAAUUGAGUUUUUUAUUUUUAAAUUUAAUCAUAUGUUACUAUGUAGUUUUCUAUUUAUAUUUUAAAUUUUAAUAUACAUAUCAUGCAACCGCCGGAUCUACUCGCAUACAAUACGGACAAAAGCCCGUACAAAGACCACAGACGGAAGCCGAACGUUUGUGUAAAUGAAAAGCCCGAACGUGUAAAUGAAAAGCCAAUACAUCUGAACCAUCAAUCAAACACUGUAUACGUGGACGGUCCAAAACCCAUAAAAACACAAACAAACGGUCCACCUCAAAUACACACCAGCAACCCUAAAAUCACCUCAUAUAUAAACCCCCUUCACACUCUCAGCUACAAAAACCCUAAUCCCAGCUGCCAAGCGCCGCAUAGCAACCGGAGCAUUUCACCCAUCUCGGCCGCGGCGGCAGCAGCAGCAGCAGCGGAGCAAUCAUGAAGGUUCGAAUCUCUCUCUUUGAAUCCGAAACCCUAACCCUAAUACGGUGCGUUUUACUGAUCGGAUUUUUGUGUGUUUUGUUGGGUUUCAGUUCAACAUCGCGAAUCCCACCACUGGGUGCCAGAAGAAGCUCGAGAUCGACGAUGACACCAAGCUGUAAGACCACUCUGACCUCUCCUUCUCAAUUUUGUGAUUUCCUGUGUGUUUUUUUUCUUUAAUUUAUGAAUAGAUUUUAGCAUUAUUAGGUUUUGUUUCGAUUAAUUUGUAUGGAGGUGAUUGAAAAGGCCUUUGCUUUGAAUAAUCUACAUGAUUUAAGUCUUAUUUGUUUCAGUAUUAUGAUUUAAUUCUUAUUUCAUUAUUACUCGUCUGGUUUGUAAUAGUGAGGAUAGAAAAGCCGCUACUUUUUUGGUGAUACUGUUAACCGAGAUAUUGAGGAGAGAAAUGUUGUGAAAAUUUUGAUAUAUUUGACCUUAAUUGUACGAGUGAGCUUGUUGACUCAGUAUCUGUUAUGCGAUCUGUGUCUGAUUAUAUAUGGUGCUGUUUUCUUGUGAUGUUGGUGGGAGCGAGGUUGUUUACUUGGAAAAGUUUUAUAGCAUCUCAUCUGUGGUAUUGACUGAUGACAUGAGUAAAUUUUGUGUACAUAGACGAUUUCAUAUCAAUUUUACGUAAUUUGCAAAUUGUUAGUGAUCUACGUUUAGAUUGUGUUUGGAACUGAUUGUCAAUUUGUUAGCUUAAUAUUUCUUUUGCUGAUCAUAGCUAAAAAACCAUUUUUUUACUUUGUUCUUCGCUGAUAUCAUGAGCACUAAUUAACCUGCAGGCGAGCAUUCUGGGACAAGAGGAUCAGUCAAGAAGUCAAUGGUGAUGCACUUGGCGAGGUGUGUAUUCUACAUUUCUUAUGGUUCUAUACUUUAGUCGUUUUAUAUCGACUCUUUUCUUUUCCUUUUAACUUUUAACAGGAGUUCAGGGGAUACGUCUUCAAAAUCAUGGGAGGCUGUGACAAGCAAGGCUUUCCUAUGAAGCAAGGAGUGUUGACUCCAGGGCGUGUUCGCCUUUUGCUUCACAGGGGUAUGUUGUAAUGUUAUUAGUUUCCAUGGGGGAGGGAGAGGCAGAGAUAAACAUGUCAUUUCAUUUGGUGAAACUGGAUCUUUAUUAUCAUAUGUUCUAGUUUUUAACAGUUUUUGAUUUUGUUAUUGUCUGUGAAAUUUUUUUUAGGAACCCCAUGCUUCCGAGGACAUGGAAGGAGGAAUGGUGAGCGAAGAAGGAAGUCCGUUCGUGGAUGCAUAGUUAGUCCAGACCUCUCAGUACUGAACUUGGUCAUAGUUAAGAAAGGUGACAAUGACCUUCCUGGACUGACUGAUAUUGAAAAGCCAAGAAUGAGAGGUCCAAAGAGGGCAUCCAAGAUCCGCAAGCUAUUUAACCUCACCAAGGAUGAUGAUGUGAGGAAGUACGUCAACACAUACCGCAGGAAAUUCACAUCCAAAACUGGUGGGUUUUUAUUUGUUAGCUCACUUGAUAUAUGUGAUUACUAGAGGCAAAAUUGAGAAGACAUUGAUCUUUAUUUGUUGGUUCAUAGGCACUAUUUAAUGUAAAUAUUCUGUUUGGCAGGCAAGAACUGCAGCAAAGCUCCAAAAAUUCAGAGGCUGGUUACUCCUUUGACUUUACAGAGGAAGCGAGCAAGGAUUGCAGAGAAGAAGAAGAGAGUUGUGAAGGCCAAGUCAGAGGCUGCAGAGUAUCAGAAGCUACUGGCUUCCAGGUUGAAGGAGCAGCGUGAGCGCCGCAGUGAGAGCUUAGCCAAGAAGAGAUCAAGACUCUCAUCUGCCACCAAGCCAUCUGCUGCUUAGUUGUCUGGUGGGAAAAUGUUGAUGUCUUGGCUCUGAACAACAUCAUAGUUAGGAUGAGGUAUUUCUGAUUGUUUAUUUAAAGCUUUCAGAGUUUAUUUUGGGAAUGCCGAACAUGUUCCAGGCCGACAUUUCAGAUUUUGUUUGUGUUUAAUGAGUUUCGUGGAUCUGGAUCAGAUAUAAAUGUUUGAAUUAGUAUGUGUUGUUGCGAUGUGUUGAGCUUCACAGAAAGCUUCACCUUGGCUUAACAACUGAAUCAACAACUUUUUGGUAUUGCUGAUUUUGAGAUUUUGGAUCAAGCACUAAACGGAACCAAAGGACUUGUUAGUUCAAUGCAGAAAUCAGUCGGAUUAUUAUUAUAUCACACAUUUCUAUUUGGAUUUUUAGAUGUAGCUGACUUUUUUUUUCUCGCCUUUUAUGGGUUCUUAUUUGGGUUAAGUUCAAAGUUCAAACCAUCUUCUUUUGUGAUCUGAUCCCUCGUCAGACUCCAAACAAAGCACAUUUGGCUCGUCUAUAUUUUAGCUUUGCAAUUUUGAUUCAAUCAUUUCAACCAUCCUCGCUCAUCUUGAGUCUCUUGUUUAACAUUCAUGGGUCACCUAGGCAUGGAUUUGUCAUGUAUACAUGGAGAUUGCCCGACAACCAUGCUUCUGAACUUGCCGGAUUGUUCAUGUAAGCAAAGGAAAUAAAGAAAGAUACUCUUCUAAACGCAAAAACGUAAUGAAACGCUUUGAUUUCAAAAGCGAUUAUUUAUAAUCCAGUUCUGAAUUGUUAAUUUUGAAUCUUACAAGCAUCCCAACUUGUUCAUUAGGGCAUUUGUCCUUUUAAUUAUUUUUUGGAUUGACCACCCUGCAAUUUUUCCUUAUCUCCCCAGGUUGCUGGACCUGCAAGUCACCCAUCUUUAGCAUCCCCUCAACAAAAGCCUUGAAAAAUCCUUCUUGAUCAAUGCUGAACUGAUUAACAAAUUCCCUUGUCCGCGGAAAUGUGAAAAGAGUUUGAUCCGAAUUCAGAAACCCUCUCCCGGAAACCAAGUCCUUGAAGUACUGAUUAUCAAAUAGCACUGAUGUUGCAUCAAGGUCUCCGGUCACGUUUUGGUCCACAUUCAAAGGACAGAGCUUGUCUAGCUUUUCUCUAAACUUGGGUUCAAUGGCAGGGUCCGGCUUGCCAGUGCCAGAUUGGUUAUACAGCUGAAACAUGAUCGAAAAGCACCGAGCUUUGCCAAUGGAAUGUGAUCCAGAGAGCGCAACCAUGUCUUUUGCAGAAAGAUUGAAUUUGCUGAAUAGAUCAAUGAGAAAGGUGGCAUUGGAUCUUGGACUUGGCAUUACAUUGUCUGAAGCUUCUUGGCUUGCUGUUAAGCUAUCCAAUCUUCCCAACUUCACUUCCCAACCUGGUCCUCCAGUCUGAGUUACAAAACAUUAUGUGAUAUAAGCAAACCACAUCCAGAACUUGCUAGAUCAAAAUCUAUCUCUGUCUUCAACCAAAAAAAAAAAAAAUUCUAUCUCUGUCUAAUAUAUGCGAUGAAAAAUCUAAAAUGCACAUAAGCUUAGCACACAAGUUCUUAUUAGUUAUAACUUAUAUGUACUACUUUGAUGUUAGUGUAAUACCAGGGCAACAGCAUCUCUAGAAGCCAUGAUAAUGAUAUCAGCGCAUGAAACAACUCCAGGACAUGCCUUCUCCAAAGCUUCCUUGGCUUCAUCAACAACUUCAUAAGAUCUCAAUGAAUUUAUAUUUGCAAGGGCGAGUUUUUCUCCGAGCAUAGUUGGUGUGUCAUCAAGUAACAGUGAAGCAUCACAACCCUACAGGGAUACGAAAAUAAUACAGUAAUGUUCAGUGUAUGAUAGUAACAAUUGACGAAAUAUAAUACUCCUAUUCCUAACAAAGCAAGAAUUCGACUUUGCAUAUAGGGAAAGAAAUCAAUAUAUUUUUCCUUACAUAUGUAGUUGCUUACAUUAACAAAGCAAUCAUGAAACUGGAGUCGCAUGACUGAGGCAAGGCUCCGGGGUUCUCUUAUCAAAGCCUUCUUCAUGACAUCUCGGACGAUGGAUUCGGCUUUUGGGCACACUCCCGAGUAAUAACCGGUCCGGAGGUCUGCGGUGGCACCGGUUGUCAUGUGUAGGAGGAAGAUUAUCAAGAGAGGAGACAUUGGAUUUGGAGAGACUAGUCACUUAAGUCUUAAGCGCUGGUUAAUUUGGAGUUGGUUUGCAGCUUUUUAAACUUGUGGAUUGCUCAUGCCAUUGUACAGAGAGAAAGUAUCUGUAAGACAUAUGGUCAAAUUCAGAUUGUGGAGUUACGUUUUGUAUAGAUAGUAUUUGAUUAGAGUUAAUGGAGUAUAUAUGACUUUGAAUGUCAUCUUUGACUUGUUUUAUUUUAGUGGAUGCAUUUUUCAUUCUCCAUUGCUUGUUGAAAGAGACGUUACAAAUCUCUAUCAUAUACUAGAAGUAGCUCCUUAUGUGGUAUACACUUCAGGCUCGUUUGUUCAUGGAAAGUAAGAACACAUUACACAUUUGAGUAGGCUGAGCCAAAGAGUCGACCAUUUUAAAAAAAUCAUCAACCUAAGGUCAUUCUCUUGAGAUGGUUUGAGGAGAGUCAUGUGAUAGUAGUCUCUGAUGCUUAUUAUAAUAUGAGGUUCAAGCUACGUUUUAGUCUUAUAUUAUGUAAUGUCAUUAAUUAAGGCUUGAGAAAUAACCGCAUCACCCAAAUUAAAAAAAAAAAAAAAAAUUACAUCAAUCUCUUUAACUAAACUAUGUUAAAGCAUAAGUAGCCAAAUUUAACAUCGACAACCAUAGUAACUUGCCUCCACCCUAUCAUCACCGGAGGAAAAUAAACCAUCGUAGCUGCCUGGUAGAAGAGAAAGUAAAAGGUGAAACAAUCUGAAUUUGGGAAGAAACUCAUGUCUAGUCUUUUUCUUACAAGAAAAAAUGUUCAAUGGUAGAAAAUAUAUGGAUGAUACCGAUCGAAGCUAGCAAGUUCCUAAGUACAAUUUAUUGUCAGCAAAUGUGAUGGUCCAUUUCGAAUCCUUAUAUUGCAAGUGUCCUAGUUGCAGGACCAGAACACCAGAUAAACAAAGGCCCCUCCAUUCACAUUCACGAGCCAAGGCUGAGAUGAUAGUCCCUCCAUUAUAUGCAAGAGACAACUUUCACAAGUCACCAGUUUGCAGGAAACCUUGUUUUUAGAUGGAAGCUUUUUUAAUGAGGACCUUUAAGUUGAGGACUUGUUGAGGACUUUUCGGCUUAUCCCACUUUUCGAUCUUAUAUCCACAUCUUGACCGUUCAGUUUAUAGGUAUUUAUGGGUAGAUCAUUUCUGUAAAUUUUCAGCCAUAUUAAAAAUCGUUAAAACAUUCAUAAGUGUGAUUUAUCAAUUAUGAACUUGAACGGUUCAUGUUUGACAGAUUUGGUUCGUCCAUUAAUUUGAUCUAGUUUGUUACCUUAACGAUCACCGAUUUGGCUGAAAAUUUGUAGGGUUGAUCUACACAUAUAGACCUAAAAACUGAACAGAUGAGAUGACAAAAUGUGAUUGAAAAAUAUGUUUUUUAAACCAUAAACCGAAAAGUCCUCAAUUUAAGGAUCUUUAUUAGAAGGGCUUCCGUCUUUAGAUAUAGAUAGAUGGGUACAGUCGAAGCAAUUUCCCAACAUACAAACCACAUUUUCUUUCACUUGAUGGUGUGACACAUAAUAAAAUAUUUUCCGGCAUAGAAUCGUAAGGAGCUCAAUGAGGGCCUAAGUUAAGGAAUAAGGACUAGUUUAGGUUUUUUAGUUAAUGGGUUAAGAGACAUACUUUUUAAUUAUAUUUUUACAUAUUAACCGUUCAGUUUAUAGGUCUACUAGCUUUUUACCUUAUUCUCUCCUGUUAUAAAACUCGCUACCCAUUUUUCUCUCUCUAAUUAUCUCUUUAUUUUAUUUAUUUAUUUUGUUAUUUACUAUAGUAACCCUUGUUUUUAAUAGUCUGAAUCAACUUGAUAGGGGCAAUCAUUAAGGUAUCAAACUAGAUCAAAUCAAUUAACUAACCAAAUUUGUCAAACAUGAACCGUUCAAGUUUAUAAUUUGUAAAUCACACUUACGAAUGUCUUAAUGAUUUUUCAUUUCGGCUGAAAAUUUGCAGACAUGAUCUACUUAUAUAUACCUAUAAAUUGAACGGUUGAGAUAUGAAUACGCAAUCGAGAAACGGGUGAAACAAAGAAGUCUUCAACUAGUAUUCAACUUAAAGGUCCUCAUAUUUAUUUAUUUUUGAUUGAAACUUAAAAGUCCUCAUUAAAAGGGCUCCAUAGAAUCUUAAUUUGAUUUAUUGAAACCCUUUACUUAUUCUGUAUUUUCAAAAAUAAUCAAAUCGACUAAUUAUCUUCGUGCUAAUUCUAGAGUCUAAGUGAAACUUGAGAUAGUGAAUAACGAAAUUUAGUGGAAAAAUGGCUGUCAUUCCUCAACUGAAAAAUGUUGUUAUUCUAGAUCUUUAAUCUUUGAAAUUGGUCGACUAGUACAUUUGAAAAUGAUGUGCGCACUCACUUAAUUACCAGACACAAAAUUUUGUGCCAUUUGAGUGAUUUGACUUGUCCAAUCUAGAACAGUAAAGAAGCUUUUCAGAUGAGGAAGGUUGGGAUUUCUGCAUAUCUCACUUCAAAUAAUUUUGGUUUACUUUCUCUUGUAGUGCACAUUAGUCUAUUUAGAAGAAUAGGGUGCUUCUCAUCUCCAGCGGCCUUUAAGCCGAAAGUGUUCGAUUACAAAUCCUAAAGUAUAUGCUUAGUUGCUUACUAAUAAAAUUUUCCUACUUCCGUUAUCUGUUAUUAUCUUUACCAUGUAUGGAUAUGUAUAGACUCAAACGCAUAAUGUCUCACAUUAGCUUUCUUUGUUCUUCUCUUUCGCCUUAUGAGCAUUUUACUUGUGAACAAAUAUUGCUAGCAAAUUAUCGAUUCAAGAGGUACUGAAACGAUCAAGUUUCGAGCAUGUAGUUUUGAAUCUUUAUCUGCCCGAACCUAAAAACUAACAGUUCAUUAGGUCUUGUUACAGAAAUCUAACUGAAUCCAGACUUCUGUUUACUACUUUAGUUUUAAAAAAGAGUUCUGUUUACUAUCAAGUAUCAACAUCACUCUACUUUCUCUUUCCAUAUAAAAACCUUCCACAAUUUGAUUACAUAUCAGACUUAUUAAUGCUAUUGAAGAUGACAUAAUAUCGUAGUCUGAUCCCUUCAAGACUCCCAGAAUGUUUCGACAGCGCGACGAUUAGCCACCCUGCAAUUUUUCCUUAUCUCCCCAGGUUGCUCAAUCUGCAAGUCACCCAUCUUUAUCAUCCCCUCAACAAAAGCCUUGAAAAAUUCUUCUUGAUCAAUGCUGAACUGCUUCACAAAUCCUCUUGUCUCCGGAAAUGUGAAAAGUGUUUGAUCCGAAUUAAGAAACCCUCUCCCGGAAGCCAAGUCCUUGAAGUACUGAUUAUCAAAUAUUAUAGGAGUAGCAUCAAGGUCUCCAGUCACGUUUUGGUCCACAUUCAAAGGGCAUAGUUUGUUUAGCUUUUUUCUAUACAUUGGUUCAAAAGCAGGGUCCGGCCUGCCUGUGCCGGAUUGGUUGUACAGCCGAAACAUGAUGGAGAAGCACCGCCCUUGGCCGAUGGAGUGUGACCCUGAAAGCGCAACCAGGUCUUUGACAGAAAGAUUGAAUUUGGCAAAGAGAUCAAUGAGGAAGGUUGCAUUGGCUCUUGGACUAGGCAUAACGUUGUCUGAGGCUUCUUGGCUUGCUGUUAAGCUGUCCAAUCUUCCUAGCUUUACUUGCCAAUCUGGUCCUCCAGUCUAUCACAAGGACAAACCACAACGACAAAAGAACUCUCUUAAUUCACAUAAAUAGUAUCAUUUCCUCAAAAAAGGAAAAAAAAAUUAAUAGCAAGGUACUGCAAAUCAAGAUUGCAGAUACAGCAGUAAAAAGAUAAACACCUUUUGGGUUCAGGAGUUCAUAAAUCAUAACUCUUUAGCAUCAAUUGACAGGACAAAAGAAGAAAGAAAACAUCUUUUGCCAGCUUUACUCAUUUCAUCCUUUAAUUACAGAAAGAAUACCUCACUGCAAAUCCCACUUUGAUAUGGGGUAGACUUCCAAACAUGGUCUUGUAACAAAUUAAGUUAAUUAACAAAACUAGAUUUUACCUUUUCGGUUUGGUAAUGAUAAAAAUAGAUAAGAGGGAGAUAGAGAGAGAUGCAUACCAGAGCAACAGCAUCUCUAGAAGCCAUGAUGAUGAUGUCAGCACAAGAAACAACACCAGGACAGACCUUCUCCAAGGCUUCCUUGACUUCAUCAACAACCUCAUAAGAUCUCAGUGAGUUUAUGUUUGAAAGAGAAAGCUUUUCCCCAAGCAUGGUUGGUGUGUCAUCAAGUAACAUAGAAGCAUCACACCCCUACAACACACAACUUAAAACCAUCAACACAAAAAGGCCUAUAACCAAAUUAAAGCCUUUUGCUUUGUCAUACUCACAUUAACAAAGCAAUCAUGGAACUGAAAGCGCAUGACAGACGCAAGGCUCCGGGGCUCUCUAGCAAAGGCCUUCUUCAUGACAUCCCUGACUAUGGUUUCGGCUUCCGGGCACAUCCCGGAGUAAUAACCGGGACGGAGCUGCACGGCGGCCGCCCCGGUUAUUAUGCGGAGGAGGAGGAGGAGAGGAAGGAAGAAAGGAGACAUUGUAUGUUUCAGUUUGUGGAGUGGUCCAAUCUAAUUAUGUGCAUGUAUAUAUAGGUGAAAAGGUGAAGAGGGUGUUACCCUUUUACUGUUUGGGAUUGGUGGGGUGCUAAAAGGAUGGUUCAUAAUGAGGGGUUUGAGAAAAAAGAGAGAGAAGGCUUGGAAUUUCGUUGGUGUCUGUGAGUGUGUGUCAAAAGAUGAGAGGGUUUGUUGUGAUAACAGGAAGCAGGGGAAGGCAAUUGGGUAAGAGAGAGCCGACUGGAAGAGAGGACUGGGAGUGGGGACUGGUGACUGCGUCAACAAUUGCGACACCCACGAUGAUGCUCUGACCGGGAGACUGUGUAAGUUUCUAGUUUUGCUGAUGCCAUUUUGUAGUUUUGAGGUUUUGUCUGAGUCUGGGAGAUCUAUUUUUGGGUAUGGGGUAAUAAAUGGGGUGCAGCUUUGGGAAAUCCAGCUGUGUAGCACUGCAUUACUUCAGUAGUCAGGCGUUUCAAUGGUUAAUUGUAGUGGAUCUCCAAUUGAGGGAAAGAGAUUUUGAUUUGUUUUUGACUUCAAAUCUAGCGUGAAAAGGAAAGAGUUUUUUUUUUUUACCACAAGAUAUUAGAAAAAAAAAAGGAUGUUGUUAUUCUUUAUGACUAAACCGGAACGUAUUUGAGUAAUCUACAAGAACGUAUUUAAGUAAUCUACAAGACGUACAACUUAGCUUACAAUAUAAGGGGUGGUGGUGCGACGUCGAUUCGCAAAGAAGAGCAUCUUAAAGUACGUGGCAAAGGAUCAAGUGCUUUGGUUUUUUUUUCUCGUAAUCAACCACAGGUUGGUUGUAGAGCCGUGUGACGUAUGACAUCCGACAUGAUUUCGAAAGACUUUUAGUGUGCGUUGGUGAGUUAAAGCCCAUAAUAACAAUUCAAAUACUUCACUUUUGUUUUCUGACAACAAAAAUAAUUCUGUAACGGUCAAAUUAUUACAAAUAUUUAGUUAUAUAUAUGACUUUCUAUCACGCCGCGCACGCGCAUAUGUACACACUACGCACACUCAGUGAUGUGUUGCGUUUCUAGCUACAAUAAUUUUGAAAUUCUAGAACUAUUUUGACUAGUAAUGUUGUAUUAAUGUAAUUAUGUCUCCAUUUCUGUUUGCUUGUUUUAAAUUUAUAGACUUUCAUUAAUAAUACCAUGCAUAGUUAUGUCUCCUACUUUAACAAGUACACUAAACACUUAGCUGAGUUAGCUUUAUAUAUAUCAUAUCAACAACCAAGAAACAUAAUGACUAGUCUUGUCAUGAGUCGAACUUAGAGUCUCCUUCACUUAUAUAGUAGAUUGUGUUACUAGACCAAAUGAUACUAAACCAAACAACGCUGAUUCUAAACGCAGUCUAACAAAAUUUUCUCAUAUCUUCGUGUGAGAACACUACUUCUCACUCGAAGACUAAAAUAUUGAAUGUUAUUUGGGGCUAAGACUUUUGCUUGGACUUUAGUAAGUGUAAGGUUGAAAAUUAGUUCUCGAAUUGCUCAUUAGAGCACAUGGAAUGCUGCUAGAUUUGACCUAAUGUGAUCUUCUUCUUAUGAUGAGUUGUUCCUCUUCUGGUUCAAGGAGGAUCAUGAUAAAUAUGUUGCAAAGAAUUGCAUUACUAUUUGCUGGAAGAUUACGGAGACUAGAAAUAUAAACAACCUCACUUUCAGAAACAAACCUCCCUAUCAUGUGAGUGUUGUUCAUGAUGCGGAAAACUCUGGUGAGGCAUAUCGAAAGCGCAAUCCUAAGGCAUGUGCGGUAGAGAAUAUCAACUCUAGAAGAAGUCAAUUUCAUCCUUAAGUCAUUCGAUUGCAUCCUCUCCAAGAAAGCUUCAUUAAACUUAUUUUUGAUAGGUCGGUCCUUAGCAGUAGUUUGGCGCUAUUGGGUUUGUCAUUAGAAAUCACAAUGGAGAGCAUAUUUUUGCUGGUUCUAGAGAGGUUGCUUCAGCUUCAUUUCAUGUGGCCGAGUGUAAUGUUGUUAGUGACACUAUAUCAUACAGAUAUAAGCUGCUAAAUAACUGCAAGAAAACCCAAAUUUAAGGGGAUUCAAAGCUUGCAAUUGAUGUUCUCAAUUAGAGAUCCUCCCCCCUCUCCUUGGAGACUCAGAACCAUUCAAAGACAUCUUCUAUUAGGUGACUCAAUUCGAAGAAAACAGCUUCCAUUACAUAUUCACUGUGUAGCCAACUUUGUUGCUGAUUCGAUCACUAGUCUGCCUCACUGAUCUGCAAAUCCUACUACAUGGUAUCAUGGUGUAGGAAGUUGCCACUCUCACCGAUUAAUGCUGAUAGUUCUGAUAACUUAAAUGUAGGCUGCAGUAGGGGCUUUUAAGAUAUGAAAAAGAAAUUUUUUUUGUAAUGGGCCGAGUGAAAAUGUAAGAUGAAACCGAUGUAGAGAGAGCAGCCCAAACCUAAACCUCCCGGGGCGCACAACAAUCCUUCAGUCCCUCCAAAACCCCAGCAGCACAUCGAACCGCAGCAAAAACCAACUGCUGCUUUCUUUUCUGGGUUCACUUCCAGCACCCAACCAUGGGCAGAGGCAGAGGAGGCUCACGCACCCAGAGACGCCACUUCCGCCAGAACAGAGAGAACGUCUGGAAGCGCACCAAGCCCGAUCCUUCCUCUGAAAACCCAACUGAAAACAAUGGGGGCGACCCUUCUUGGCAGCCCUUUGCUACCCAGAGCCUUGCAUUCGAGGAGUACUACAAGGUAAAGUUCAUAGAGUAAUUUUUAUGGUUUUGGAGUAAUAAAGCUUGAAUCUUUGUGGGUUUUGAGUAAUAAAGAUUGUUCCUUCAUGUUUUUGUUUAUAGGAGCAAGGGAUUGUUGCCCCAGAAGAGUGGGAUUUGUUCAUGGAAUUUCUCCGAAAGCCGCUGCCGGCUGCUUUUAGGAUCAAUUCAAGGUAGUAUAUGAAGAAAUAUGAACUCUAAGGAGGUCGCUAUUCAUUUGCAGUAGUGUUUAUGUGCAGGCAUUGACUGAAAUGUGUGUUGUUUUCUGUUUGAUUUUGCAGUAGCCAGUUUUGUUCGGAUAUUCGGACCCAGUUGGAGAGUGAUUUUAUGAUAUCUCUUCAAUCUGAGGUAGGUUGGUUUGUAACUUUAGUGCAGUGCAUAAUGUGUUGUUAGUGCAGGGCAUGUUUCAGGUUUUGCUUAUUUUUUAUUAUUUAAACUAUGCUGUUCAGGUGAGUGAAGGGGGUGAACCGCAGCCUAUUAGGCCGUUAGCUUGGUACCCUGAGAAUCUUGCUUGGCAUUCAAAUUUUUCUCGCAUGCAGCUGAGGAAAAAUCAAACUCUCGAGAGGUACAUGAUGUAAACUGUGGGGAUAUUGGGUAGAGUAAGCAGUGAGUAGUUGCCUAGAACCAAUGCAAUUUUGGUAGCUCGUAAUUUCAAGCAUAUAUAUGACUGUCCAUGGCUCUUUUGUUCCCCUAGGAGUUCAUAUAGAGUAAUAUGUAUCUACCCAAAUAAUUUUGGUUGUUUGGAAGUGGAUCCUCCUUGAAUUGUUAGUGUUACAUAUAUUUUGACCAAGUUGCCAUUAUGCUAGCAAGUUGGUCAUUCAUUUUGAGUUGUGCUUUUUCUAUAAUAUAUUUUGUUUUAAUUUUCCUAGUUCUGAUGGAAUGAUUUUCUCAGGUUUCAUGAGUUUUUAAAGCUUGAAAAUGAGAUUGGAAACAUCACAAGACAGGAGGCUGUCAGCAUGGUGAGCUGUUCUUAUUUACGGUAGUUCUUUUGUUGUUUAAAUACUGUUAAUCUGUUAUAAAUUUUGUUUUUGACGUUUUGGGGUUUCAGUAGAAAUUCACUUUAUAUUAAUCCUUGUGUCAUUCUUUUUCUUUUGAUGAUACAGGUGCCUCCUCUAUUCCUUGAUGUACGUCCAGAACAUUUUAUACUUGAUAGUAAGCCACUUAUUUGUAUUUAAUACUCUCUCUCCCUCUCCCUCUCCCUCUCUCUCCCAAUUGUUCAAAUCUUAAAACCUUAUUUGACCAAAUGUUAGGAUUUGGACUUUUUAGCAAUAAAAGAAAAUGUAAAAUGGUUGUUUUCAUAAUGAAGAAGUAGUUGGAUGAGAGAGGAAUAGUAUCUUGUAAAUUUUCUUUCUGCAGAAUUCUGUACUUGGUUUUUGUUCUUUACUUCUGUGAAGAAGCCUAACUUUAUCUCAUAUGUUUCUAAUAUAAAGAAGUGGUCGAAUUAUUAUUUUUGGAACAACACUCAACUUUUUCUGACUAUCUGCUGCACUUUUCCCAGUGUGUGCUGCCCCAGGUUCAAAAACAUUCCAAUUGCUCGAGAUAAUACACAGAUCAACAAAACCAGGACUCCUACCUGAUGGACUGGUAUGCAUCCCUUUAAUUCCUGUUUAUGUUCUUUCAGAUCCUAUUAAUCUGUUUUGUCUUCUCUUUGGAUAAGUGUAGUGGAGUCCCUUUCUAUGCCCUAUUUAAUUCUCCUAGUUAGUAUGAAUCCUUGUUAUUCUACUGCAGUAUUAAAAUGAUUCCUUGUUUUUUCCUUCUUCCCAUUGAUUAAGGUUGUAGCGAAUGAUCUUGACGUCCAAAGGUGCAAUCUACUCAUCCAUCAAACAAAAAGAAUGUGCACAGCUAACUUGAUAGUCACAAAUCAUGAAGCUCAGCACUUCCCUGGCUGCCGUUCCAACAAAAAAAGCUCUAGUGCUCCCGAAAUAGGAAUUGAAUUGGAGCCACCCAUCAGUCAACUUCUCUUUGAUCGUGUUUUAUGUGAUGUCCCUUGUAGUGGCGAUGGUACACUCCGCAAGGCUCCUGAUAUCUGGAGGAAAUGGUAGAACCUUUAUUCUCAAUCCCAAUUUCUUUUUGCAGGUUGAUGAGAUUUGUUUUGCUUAUGUACAGGCAUUCAGGUCAUGGCAACGGGUUGCAUGCUCUACAAGUUCAGAUAGCUAUGCGAGGUAUCUCUGAUGAUAAACUUCUGCCCAGAAUUUCUAUAUAAUUGUGUGUUGAUCUACUUCUGUGUUUAAUUCUCAUGUAUUGAAUUCAUACUCUUUCCACUCGUUUAGAGAGUAUGAGUAAUCACGUAUGAGUGCAAGUCCAUUAUACGCCCAAUGUGUUCUGAGUAAUUGUUUGGGGAUCACCACAUAUAUGAAUUCUCUUCCUUAGGACAAUAUGACUAAAGAUAGUGGAUGCUUAUGUGGUUUGUGCCUUUCUGAUAGUUCUAUUAUUAAUGACACAGGAUGUAUGAAGCAAUUGUGUAGCAUAUAAUUUUUUACCGUGAUGCAGUGCAUUUAGUUGGGGAACUAGGGAAGGUUAUUAUCUCUGAGGCUGCACUAUGUGCAUGUUAAUUUUUUACUAGGAUAUUGUAUUUUCACUGCUCUUCUGUUGUUUAUUUAGAACAUUACUUUAGGGUCUCAUUUAGUUUGUGGAAAGGAAAGUAAUUCCUUUGUUGUUCCCAUGAACUUUCCAUUCCAAUGUUUGGUAACAUAAGGAAGGUAUCCAGAAAGUUGUUAAAAUUUUUACUAUCAAUGCAAUAAAAUAAGGGGUGCUUCUAAAUGUACCCAGUAAACUUCUAAAUAGACCCGGCAAAUAAAUAAUUCCACAUUUACCCUUGAUUUUAAUAUUAUACAAACCCAGCAAAACUAUCUAGCUAUUAACACCAUCGUUGGGGAAGAACAUGAACCAUUGCCAUCCUCCCCUAUAAAACAUGCAAAAUAAAUCGAAGUAGUGCUCGAUCGGUCUGUCGGUCUGUUGGUGUUGCGAUGGCUGUUCAUCUGUGUCGGAGUAGCUGUGUCUCCUCACUCAUCCCACAUCAUGGUUGAUUGGGGCUGGUGUUUCAAUGGGUCUGAGUGAAUUGAAAUGAAGAGAUAAAUAUGAUAAAUUCAUAUGAUAAUCUACACACAGUCUUAGGUGCAGAUCGAGGUGGUCCUCUGUGUUUUAGUGUGUCUAUUGUGAACAAGAUGGGAUUGGCAUGGACUAGUUUUAUUUCUCCUUAAUCUCAAUUUCAAUUGUAUGAUGAAGAUGACGUUGAGGUUUCAUACAUGAGAGUUCAAUUACAUGAGGUUAUUCAAUUUUCAAUUAUAAGAGUUCAAUUAUAUGGUUUCACAUAUGAAGUCGUAAUCCCAUCGUCUGAACUCUUUAUUUCUUCUUUCUUCAAUUUACUGUAUUCCAUGACCGUAUGUGUGCAGUGAUUUGCUGGGUUUAAAUUAGGUUUGGUGGGUGUAUUUAGAUGGAGGACAAAAUUGGAAAGUUGGUUCCAAAAAUAGCAUUGCUGAGUGUAUCUAGAAAUUUGCUGGGUACAUCUAGCAACACCCUAAAAUAAUUGGAUGUGAACAAUAAAUGCAAAGGAAAAAGCGGGGAAGUGAAUCCUUUUGGGUAUGGAAGGAACCGCUUUCCUUCUUAUUUUCCCUUCACCAAAGUGUUUCCUUUCUUUUUGCAUCCCAAAUACAAGAAAGGAUUACGUUUCCUUUCCCGAUGCUUCAAUUCCACGAACCACACAAGGCCAUAAAUGUCUCUGGGAUUGAUUCAAUAUAAACUUUGCUCAGAUAGAUUAUUACGAUUUUAGACCAAGCUUAAGUCAUUGUCUUUCAGUAUGACAUUGUGAACAUACAUGGAUCUUCUGCUGGUUAAUCAGUGAACAGAGGAUUUGAAGGAAGACAAUUUUAUUUCUUCUUUAAGUGAGCAUAUAGAACGUAGCUAAUGGGAUAUUGUUUAUUACAGGUUUAUCUUUGCUGAAAGUUGGUGGAAGAAUGGUUUAUUCUACGUGCUCUAUGAAUCCAGUUGAGAAUGAGGCUGUGGUUGGUGAGGUAAUAAUAUCUGAUUCAAUUUCUACACAACAAGAUCCAAAAUCUCUCUAAUUUAUACACUUUUGAAAAUAAAAGCCACAGGAUUGCAUCAUUUUCUUUUCUGCAACUUUGCAUAGAAAAGUUUUGUGCACUUCUUUAAUUUGAUCUGAAUUGACCACCAUGAUUGCAGAUUUUGAGGAAAUGUGGGGGAUCUGUUGAGCUCAUUGAUGUCUCCAGCGAGCUUCCUCAACUUGUCAGGCGGCCAGGUCUUAAAAGAUGGAAGGUUAGUUGUUGGUGUUUACGUUGUUAUAUUAGUGAGUUCUGAUGAAAGUAUGAUGUGCAUUGUUGAAUAAAAAGCUGAUCAACCACUUUUGUGUAAUGUAAAUUUUCUUUCUUGGUUUACUGAAACGGAUGGGAUGAAUGCUGAUAUCAUUCUGUGAUGCUAAAAUCAUGUUUGAUGCUAUGUCUUGUAACCACUGAAGUAAUAUGGGACUAAAGUAUCUUUGCUAGAAAUUUUGUUCGACAGGAAAACUUAAGGAGAAAUGCCACAUAGUCUGUUCCCGCAUGAUUUCAUAAAUUGCAAGAUAUUAUAUAUGCUACAGUAAUGUUAGGUGGAAAAUUUUUGUUCUACUUGGCUGCUUGGUUAUGUAUCAAUUAGCUUGGUUAUGAAUCAGUUAGAUGAAUAUUUAAACUUUGUAUCUCGUAGUUCCCAUAUUCAACUACAUUUCCUAUCUUCUCAGGUGGCAUCAUAGGUCUCUGAUAUAGUGGUCUUAAUUCAGCAAUGUUGCUUGCAGAUUCAACUUUCAUUCAUUGUAUACUUUUAAACUUUUCAGUCACUUCGCAUUUCAGGUACGUGACAAGGGCAAAUGGUUAGCUUCAUCUAAAGAUGUCGGCAAAUAUCGCACAAAUGCCAUUGGCCCUGGCAUGUUUCCAUCUGGAAGAAACCUUGCACGAUCAAUGGACCACAGUGGUAGUAUGGAACAGGAUGAAAAGCAUGAGAAUGGUGAAGAUGAAAAUGUUGUAGAAGUAUUGCAGUCAAGUGAGGAUGCUGUAAUCUCUGACGAUGAGGAAGUUUCUCCUUUUCCACUUGAACGGUGCAUGAGGAUAGUUCCACAUGAUCAAAAUGGUGGAGCUUUCUUCAUUGCAGUCCUCCACAAGCAUUCCCCUUUGCCAGGUGACAUCUAUCAUCCAAGUCAUUGGAGUUUUUUUAAGAAUUGGAUUGCUUAUUUUGUAGUGUCUUAUUAUGGUAUGAAUUGGGUGAAAUCCAUCCCUUGUACUCUUUGUUUUUCUAAGUAUAGUUUCCUUUCUUUUGCAUGUUGAACAGCCAAUCAAGGGACAGCUAACCAUCUUGAAGGGGCCUUGUGUUCUACAAUUAACGAGCAAAUCGUAAAUUUACCAACUCUGGAUACUGAAAAUACAAAUGGGUUACUAGCUAGUUUAGCAGAUGAUACAGAUGAGACAAUUACAGAAGCUGCCUCAGAGGCAGAGUUAAUUGAGGGUGAACAAGAUGGGGUUACCUUGGAACUCGAUACUUCUGGUAAGAGUGAAGAAAAUGGAUCAGAGGCAAACCAAGUGCCUGAUGAUGGGGAAGCCGAUCCAAAGAAAACUCGAGGAAAAAGAAAGCAGCUUCAAGGUAAGUGGAAAGGAGUGGACCCUGUUGUUUUCUUUAAAGAUGAAGCCGUCAUCAAUGCCAUAAAGACAUUUUAUGGAAUUGACGAAUCAUUUCCAUUCAACGGCCACCUUGUCACAAGAAACAGUGAUACCAAUCAUGUGAAGAGAAUUUACUAUGUCUCAAAGCCAGUUAAAGAUGUUCUUGAACUGAAUUUCUCUGUUGGAGAGCAACUUAAGAUAACAUCCAUUGGGCUUAAGAUGUUUGUAAGUAUUUCCAAUCUGAACAUUUUUUUUCUUGUUCUUUGAAAUAAAGUCCUGUCAUAUGCUUCUAGAGACAUGGUUAAAUUAAGUAGUGCAACAUUUUCAUGCUCGGAUAAGUUAGAUGUGGCACAUGACUUCUGCUCUUCUUCAUGAUGGCUUGCUAAAAUCCCAUAUUUGGAGAAAAUGUUGGAGAAAAUACAAGAAGACUAAAAGAUAGUUAGAAGAAAGAGGAAAAGAACAGAUAUAAUAGAAAAAGUGGGCAGAGGACCCCAUGACGUGCACCUGAAUUAUAAGAUUUUAUCUGUGUUGUUAUUAAAGAAUAAAAUUGAACUUUAAUAUCCUUGAAGUGUUGAAUCUGUAUCUAGAUAUUUUAUUUUCAUCCUAGGUUCUUUAUCCGAGUUAAAAUUUCUGCUGCAGUCCUGGUAUUGAUGAACUACUUUUUAUAUUCAUCUCUGUUGUUUAAAUACAGUAAUAUUAAGUUAUCUCUAUCUAAUUUGACCUCCUCUAUAGGAACGACAAACAGCAAGUGUUGCAAGUUGUGCACCUUGUGCAUUCCGGAUAUCAUCUGAAGGAUUGCCACUUAUUCUUCCGUACAUCACCAAACAGAUACUAUAUGCAUCCCCCGUUGACUUCAAGCAUAUUCUUCAAUAUAAAAGUAUCAAGUUUUCUGAUUUUGUUGAUGCUGAAUUUGGUGCGAAGGCAUCGGGUUUAAUGCUGGGUUGCUGUGUGUUAGUUUUGGGCAAAGGUACACAGCAUCAUGUUGUGAAGGAUAGUUGUGGCGAUUUAUGUGUAUAUUAAGUUUUUUACCAUAACUAUGUUUUAUAUCUACAGAUGGAAAAUCCACGUUGGAUCCUAUUCAGGUAGACGAGUCAACAAUAGCCAUUGGAUGCUGGAAAGGUAAGAAUAGUUUGUCUGUGAUGGUCACUGCACUCGACUGCCAAGAACUGCUGGAAAGGCUUUUGAUGCGCAUUGAGACUAGAAACGGAAAUUUGGUGAGUAAAGACGAGGCUUCUGAUGGUAAGGUGGAUGUGGACAUGAAGGAUAUGGAAAAGGUAAGUACGACAGUAGCAACCGAAGGAUAAGUGACAACUUUUGGGUUUGCAGACUAGUUGUUCCUUGAUUAGAUUAUUUGAGAUGGGUGUUCUAAUUAGAUCUGCGUUUUCUCUUUGUUCUUUUUGACAUGAAAGAUCAUAUUUUGUAUUGUCAAGGUGGUUCAUGAUCUGAUAAAAAGGAGCAAAUUUGGAAUGUUUGGCUUUUGAAAAUGAUCUCUUUCGAAGUUGUUUUGUUGAUUUUUCUUUCAUCAAGAUCACAUGUAUGCUAAAAAAAAACACGGAAUCUUUAAACACCAUUUGCGUCCGAAGAUUAAAAACUGAACUUGGGGUGAAUAGAGCUCAACCACAAUUAUGUUACUCUUUAAUUGAACUCGAGGAAUAUUCAUAUAAAUUACAUAAGUAUUUUGAGUACUUCUAGCAAAUUCUACUCUACUAUUAACUUUUGAGUACUAGGAAAUUUCCAAAUAAUCGAACUUGGAUCAUCAGAAGGCAACGAACAGAGUCGCUUCUUGAUUUGGCUGUCUGAAUGAAGAAUGUGCAUGCUAAUGCCUACCGCAGAAGAUGGAACCAUAUUUAGGAGAAAUUGGAACCGCAACAUUUAAAAUAAAUGAUAAGCUGAUAGGCAGGCACAAACAAACUAAAUCUUUAGUUCAUUCAUCCAUAUCAAACAUGCAAUUAAUCGGCUCAUGCAAACUAAACUAGCAAGGCACAAAAUAUACAAAGAAAAUUGUAUCACACCCCUCAAAAUUUGCUAAUAUCAAGAAUUGUGAAGAAAACAUCCCAUGUUCAGAUAUUGACUAUCAAUUGAAUCACAAUGAUGUACAGCAUUUGCUCUUAGCUGGGAUCACUUGAGCUGGGCCUGGGACGAGGAUCUUCUUACCUGCCAGAGAUGCAGGGUUUCCAUUGCUUUGGUUUUCGCUAGCAGCCAGGUGCUUCUUGUUAACAAUGUUGAAUAUCUCUGUCAACACAGUUGAGAAGGCAGUCUCAACAUUAGUUGAUUCCAAUGCUGAGGUCUCCAAGAAAAAGAGUCCUUCCUUUUGAGCGAAUUCUUUGGCAUCUUCAGUUGGAACUGCACGCUGGUUCUCAAGAUCACUUUUGUUGCCAAUCAGAAUGAUGACGAUAUUCUUGUCGGCAUGGCUACGCAGCUCUUCCAGCCAACGGGGAAUGUGAUCAAAAGUCUGGCGUUUGGUUAUGUCAUAAACCAGCAUUGCCCCAACAGCACCCCUGUAGUAUGCACUUGUGACUGCUCUAUAUCUGUGCAAAACAUCAAAACAGAAUCAUCAGUUGUCAAUACACCAUUGGUACAAGUUAACAGGAGCUGCAACCCCAAAAAAGAAGUUAACAGGAGUUAGGAACAACAAUACAUCUAGUUUAAAUAUGCAACCAGUAUAACUUAUAAUGAUGCAAUCAAUUUUCUUUAACAGAAGCUUGAAAAGAAAAAGAAAAAAACAUGAGAACAGGAUCACCUCACUUCGAACCCUAGUUCAUACUUUUUAUUUUAUUUUUUGGUCUGAACUAGUUCAUACUUAUAAACCUACCAGAGAGAAGCAGCAUUGCAAUAAAGAACUAUAACCUUGACAAACAUAACCAACCAGUUUAACUGUCAAUAUAAAUGGAAAUUGAUAAAUCCAUGCUCAAUCAUGUACUGUUAUGAACAUAAAACAUUCUUGCUGCAAUCAUCCGUUCCAUCCUCCCCGAAAUAGAUUAACUCUGACAUACCUUACCCACUUAGGUCAAUAUCUGGAAUUACUAGGCAAAGUAAUCAAGCAUAAGCAGAGGGAGGGAAUGGUUCUAUAGUGGGGAAAGUCGAAAAGAUAUUAUUCACAUCAUUUCAUGAAGGGAAACAAUACUUAUCACAGUUUACAAUCCACAACAGAGGAAGGCCAAAAGGGUCAAUAGAAGGACCAAAACUAAUACAGAUUCUACAUAACCUAUAAUAUUGUCACCAACUUUGCAACAAGCCAACAAUGCUGCUCAAGCAAUACAUGGACCACACAACGAAAGAGUACCAAUACAUUCAUACCCUUUAGGGUCCAUAUGGAUGGAGUUAAUUGUAAAAGAGGAUUGACAAUAUUAAAUUAGUUUAAACUAAACACACACACACACACACACAUUGUAUAGUACUUUAAAUAACCGAUACUUUACUGAAAGUAAAUUAAACACCGGAUACAAUACAUGUAAAAUGGUUCUUAACAAUCAUAUGAAAAGAUUCAUUUGAAAUCAUUUGUUUUUUUCCUUUUAAUUCAAAUCCAUACAUAGAAACACUAUAAUCAAGUAACUUGAUCCUUAUAAUGUCAACUAAAUCCCUAGAUUUCAGAUCAAUCCAUCAAAUGCAGCCUUCAAAUUUCUAAUCAUUCUAGUCGACAACCAUGUCUAUAACCCCAUUACUAGAACAUUAUUGUAACACCAAACAAUGGAUCUAAAAUUCUCAAAUCACAGGUCAUACGAAAUUUGAUAUCAAAUCUCUACUGUGUUGGGAUAUCGGCCAAUUAUGUAUGUCAAGAAACCCCAAAAGAACACAGCAAACCAAGAGAAACAACCACAGAGAUAAGACACAAAGAACACAUAUUUAAGGUGGUUCAGCAAAACCUUUGCCUACAUCCACCGGCAGAAAACACUUCCACUAUAUUAAUAAUGGGUACAGAAGAAAGAAUAAGAAAACAAUGACUCUCUCACUUCUCUUCCUAUCUCUCUCCUCUCUGCCCUCUCUCACCCUCUAACCGAGAAUGGAACACACUUUGCUCUUUGUCUCUACGAUACAAAACCUAGAGCUGACCCCCUCCUUAUAUAGCCAUAAGGAUAUCAGAUCUCUUCACCAAAUAGGAAAUCCAAUCCUAUUAGUGGUAGGCAAUAAUACCUCCUUCCUUCUCUGUAAUCAACCAAGAUUACAGGUAUACCAUCAUCAAUAAGGAUAUCCUUUCCUUAUUGGAACACCAUACUCCAAGACGAAAUAUCUUAGGAAAAACACAUGGGCUGGAAACUCAACAUACUGCUAAUCCAUCCCUAUAAUCUUUUUCUUCUCAAAACAAGAAAACAUCAUCCAACACACCAAUGCAACACUUCCUCUGCAAUUCACUUCAUACAUCUCAAAACAAAACCAACCCAAAAAAAGGAACCAACUACAACUUAAAACCCGCUAGAAAUGUUGCAAAACUAUCAAACCCCAAGAACCCAUGUACAUAAUUGAUAAUUAAACAACACACAAAAAAAAANAAAAAAAAAAAAAAACACAACAAAAAGCAAAAGCAAAGAGUAAAACAGAAACCUUUCUUGGCCAGCAGUGUCCCAGAUCUGAGCUUUAACACUCUUGUGCUCUAUAACCAGAGUCCGGGUCUGAAACUCAACACCAAUAGUGGCCUUAGAAUCCAAGCUGAACUCGUUCCUUGCAAACCUGGCGAGUAUCUGAGACUUACCCACCGCCGAGUCCCCAAUCAGCACAAUCUUGAACACAUAGUCUAUCUUCUGGCUCGAAUCUCCAUAGCUCGCCAUUUUAACCAAACCAAACCAAACCCAGAUGAAUGAAGCUCCCAAGUCUUUAAAGGAUUGAAAUUUAUUGAACUGGGUCUGGCAGAGGGGAUUCAAGACUUCGAAAGACUCCACCUUUACCUUUGUAAGGGACAAUUAUGUGAGGUGGGGAAUAUGUGGCGGGUUCCACCGUAACAACCGUGAGUCCACCAACUGGAGGAAGGUAGUGACACGUGAAGGGAAUUUAGUGGCGGGAAUGGUGUGGUGUUGGGGUGUAGUGUGGAGCUUGUUGGAUAGGAUUGCAGUUGAGGAAUGGGGAGUAACGAGCGGAUGUCUCGGGUGAGUUGUCGUGUCUGCUAUUCUGUCUUCUUUGACGGUCAUGCCGAUCCUUCUUUUUAUGUUGCCUAGGGGCACACCCAAAUUCAUCUCUUUGGAAACUUAGACUGGUUUGGUCUCGAGGUGAAAGAUUUAAAAGCAUUACAUGGUCUUAGUUGUACUGUAAAAAUAAUUAGCUACGAAAUUAAAUAAUAAAGUAUUUAGUAAAGAAUAAUUAAGUUUAAUCUAAAAAAAUUAUGAAAUUAAGUACGGUGUUAUUCAUGAUAUUUGUCAGCCCGAUAACAAUGUUUAAUAAUAAGGCAAAAAUUAUAAAUAAUUCUCGUGGUCUGAGAUCGUGAAUAUAUAUAUGUUUGUCACCGUUGUGAAAAAAUUUUUAAUCUUGGUCAUUGUGGUUUAUAUAUCGAUUAAUUUUGAUCCAGUUAUAACAUUUUGUCUAACACUGUUAGUGAGGUUCUCACAUACCCGUCACAUGCUAGGUUAAUUCGUCGUUUACCUUUAGAGCUUUGUAUCAUAUUAAUUUCAAUCAAUUUAAUUUUGUCUUUUGAUUUAAAUCAUGUAUUACUCUCUUUAAUUUAAAUCACUGAUCGAUAUAAUCCUCAUUCACCUUUACUACUUAGGGCUACAGGAAUUUCAAAUGACUCCAUGAAAACGCAUGAAGUAUUGCAACCAGACGUAACUUAGCAAGUCGACCAUUUCUUAUUUCAAACAUAAGAACUCGUGUGUCAAUUACAUAAGAAAGAAUAAACAACAAUGAAUCAAAUACAUGCAUCAAAUUAAUUAUGAUCAUAAGUUCAUGAUGCUGUCACAUCCCGACCCUUAUAUUUUUACCUUAUUUACUAGCCUGAUUAUAGUAAGAAUUUUACCGUCUCCGUAAUUGAGUAAAUAGUUUAAUUGGUCCCUAGAAGGGUUUCGGGGACGAUUAUGUGCGGAGGAUUAUUCGUAUGAGGAAAAUACGACGACGGUAAAAAUGGUAAAUUUUAGCUAGUAAAAAGUAAUUUUUAUUCGGGUAUUAUUUUUUCGGGGUGUUUUUAUUUUUGGAAGUUUGGGUUAAGUGUUGUGGACCGGUUUGGGGUGAGGCCCAAAACCCUUUUUCUCUUCUCCCUCUCUCCCGAUUUUCUCUCCUCCCACCCGGUUUUCUCCUCUCUCCACCCGGAAAUUUCUCCACCGCCGUCCGCCGCCGUCCGGCCGCCCCAGACCGCCGCACCGGUCCCAAUCGAUCGGUCUUCAACCCAGCAACCUUCUUGGACCGGUGACAGCUCCCCUAACCCCGCCGUGAAGGAGCGGUCAACCCCGAAAGGNNNNNNNNNNNNNNNNNNNNCCUUUUGUUGGAGUUUUUGACGUCAAUUAAUUUUGACGCUUUUAUUUCUCUUAGAGAGUUACCGAAAAUGGGAUUUUUCGGUGAAUAUAAAUAUGUAAUUAUGAGAGAGUAUGUAUAGGAAAUGCUAGCUAGCCAUAUGUGUCUGUCCACCUUAAUGGCGUAGCAUAUAGCCGCAUUAUGGUGUGACGUGAGCGUUGGACGUAAGCGUAGUAGCCCUAUUUGAGUGUUUAAUUCAUAUAGGGGGUAUGGACACAUAUUUAUACACCCGUCUGUCCACCUUGAUGGCGUAGUGUAGCAUUGCAUUAAGGCGUGACGUGAGCGUUGGACGCGAGCGUAGUAGCCCUAUAUAGACCCAUGAAUUUAUAUAGGGAGUAUGAACGAGUGUAAAUACAUACAUAUAUUAUAGAGUCUGAGAGGCUCGAUAUUUUAUGGGAUAAAAGUUUUAUCGCUUGCGGCAUGCAUUCGAUUUUUCCUUAGAAAUUAAUUUGGGGAAACAUAAAUAUUUUAUUUAUUAUUUUAUUUUUGUCCACUCACUCUAACGUUAUUAAAUGUUUUCCCCUGGGCCCUUCGUUUUAAAUUGCCCAGUCUGCAGAGUUCGGGUUGGAUCUAGUAGGAGACGAGGCAUAGUCACCCGCAUUUCUGCCAGUUUUCGCCAGUAGGUUACCUGUUCAACCUACUCGUGUUUUCUUGCUUCCGCUUGUGUUUAGUAGCUCUGAAUACUUUAGAAUUUUUGUAUAUUAUGUGAUGUUCAGAAGUGUUAAAUUAAGAGUGUAAUACGAAAUUUUCGAGUUAGGGUUGUCCAUCUGCAAGGGAGAUUUUUCUUAAUCUUUUCAGUAAAUUUUCCUUGGAGGUGGUCCCCGCACGACUUACUCUGGGUUUCAGGGUGAAAUUCGGGGUGGGUCGUGUCAGAUGCAGUGAUCGAUAGACAAAUGAUGUUGCACCAACAAAGUUCCCCAUCUCAUAUAAACAUGAAUGAUUCUUUCAAAUCGAAAUCCCCCAUUUCAAGAGUUCCAUAUCAAUUUUGAGGCUUCAAAUAUUCCCCGUCGGCCGGGCCUUUCUUUUCUGAUAAUUCCAAAUCAUUUUAGCUCGGGAACAUUCAUUUUAAUUAGCUCGGUAGUGGGUUAGAGUAAAACAAGUAAUGGGUUACAGACGUUUAAAGGCAAAAGACAAAAUUAACCUAGCAUGAGACGAGUAUGUGAGAACCUCAUUAACACUGUUAGAUGAAAUAUUAUAAUUAGACCAAAUUUAAUCGAUAUAUAAAACACGAGGACUAAAAUUAAACAUUUUUAAACCACGAGGGAAAACAUUCAUUACCCCAAACAACGGGGACCAUUAAAAUAUGUAGGGGUUUCGGUAAAAUAUUGUAUAGUCAUUAUUGUUUAAAAUCGAUAUCUGUUCAGUCCUUAUAGUUUUAUUUUAAUAUGAAUGGUUCUUAAAGACACGAUUUUUCAUUCAAAUGGUCAUUCCAUCAAUUUUUAACAGCCACGUCAGUAUUCUAACAAGAAAAAUUGACAGAUAGACCAUUUGGAUGAAAAAUCGUGACUUUAAGAAUCAUUCAGAUUAAAAUAAAACCACAAGAACUGAACAUAUGUCGACUUCAAACUAUAAGAACUAAACAAGUUUCAAUUCUAAUAUAUAUCAUACUAUUUGUGAUUAAUUUUACUUCUUGAUAAAUAUAAACGACUCUCAUGAUCUUUCUUGUUGAAAAAAAUCUUCAAAUGAUUGACUCGAGUGCAAAGAAUCGUUGUAAGUUUUGAAACACCUUAGAUGUCAAAAUUAUUUAUACAAAAAUCUUAUGCUCAGGAAUAAUUCAUUUUAAAUCGAUUAUUAAAUGAAGAUUGUAGGUGUAAUAGAGGAGUUGUGUGAAUGAAGACAGCAAGUUGUAAGUUUCAUUUAUCUGGUGGGAUACAUUUGGGUUUCAACUUUCAAGAAAGUAAAGGGACACAUGCAUUAUUUGUGCAUGAUCAUUUGAUAAUCAGACACCAUCCAUUUUCGAGCACUUCCACAAUGUUUCUGAUUCUUUUUCGAUUCUGGAAUUAAAAUGUGAGCGUCCCAUAAUUUUGUAUAUAUAGGGGCGAAAUGUUCAUAUGAACCCAAAAGAGACCUAAAAUAGAGGCGUAAACAUUAAAUCUUAAGAGAACUUAGGUAACUUUAAGAUGUAUUUGCUAGAAGAAAGGAAAGAAGAAAAAACUCACUAGUCCCCAUGUAGGUCCGCCGGUGACACAUAUUUGUUGUCACUUGUGUGAGAGAGUUUUUUUUUUUUUUUUGGAGAGGUGGUUCAGGAGAGUUACUGGCAAAAUAUGUAUGGUUGGUCAGUACAUAUAUGCUUCGUUUGGUUUACGGAUUGGAGAAGUUAGGAAGGGAAAGUUGUUCCUUUCCUUUGUUUGGCACACUUAUAGAAAGGAAAGACUUUACUGCAAUAUGGGAAAAUAGAUGGGAAAUUGAAUCCUCCCACUUACCAUGGGGAUGCAAAUUUGCUCCCCACCCAUACUUCCCUGCCCUCAUCCCCACCCACCUAGUUGAACACCACAUAUCCUAUCUUUUAAUCACACUAACCAUAAUUNNNNNNNNNNNNNNNNNNNNNNNNNNNNGUUUGUUGUGUGUGUGUAGAGAGUCUGCUCGAACUCCUUUAUAUAGAAUUACUUAAGGCCACAGGUAUUGGCCCAAAGCAUGUCAAAGACUUGUAGGAGUCUUCAAUGAUAAACGUGGCGUAGACGAUGUUAAUCACUGUUGGCCGUGAUUAUCCUUUGGCGAAGUAACUAACUGCCUCUGUCUAGAAGACUUGAGUUAGAACACCUCAUGAUGACUUUGGACGUGUGCUACUGGAUGCUUUUUCCUUAUCCAAUUGAGACAUUGUAGGGAUAGAUAUUACUGUAUUGUUAUUAUCCCAAAGGCAUCAAAAUUGCCUUAGAAUGCUAACCCUUGAACGCGAAUGUCAUGCAGGCACAAUGAUUGCCUUCUAACACGACUCUCUGGACGUGGACGUAUGCCCAUGCAACCAUAUAUGAUAACUUGACAAGGACAAAAAACCUUACUGACCACAUACUCUCUAGCAUGCAUGUUCACGUACUGACUCGAUCAUGCAAUUAAACACUGCUCCAUUCUUUAUUCAAGGGAACGACGGGAUGCUGGCGAGAUUCUCAUAAGCCAUGCACGGGUCGUGUCAAGAUGUUUAUUAAUUAAAGAAGACAUCACCUCCGAUUACUCAUGCGAGAUCGCUCCUUCAAACAAUUAAAGAUAAUUGCCUCUUAUCUAAUCAUGUUGGCGGCUCACAGUUCACGUCCUUCUCUUAGUACCACACGAAAUCUUCUCAUGUCAAGUCAACUCUGCGCCAACCUCAAUCGAGCUCGCAUGACUUUGUAGGCGAGGUGACCCGCCUCCAGUAAACCCAAUAUUACUCAGGCUCGUCGGUGUGGACCAUGAAUUUAAUUAACAUUCACUUUAGACAAUUACUGUUCAGUAAAAUAUUAAUUUGGGUGUAAACAUUGCCCCCCAGCCUCGAAGUCAUGAAUGUAAAAAAUGACUGAAGAGGUUUAUGUUUCAUGCUGCUCUAAAGCCACUGGUAUUGGCUCGGUUCAUACAUCAAAUGACUGUGAGUAAACAAGCCUGUGAAUAGGCUCUAAAACUCAAGUAUAUAUUCAACAACAAAGCAUUGUAGGGAAGCUACUGUACGAUUUGCUUAGUACCGUAUUAAACUGAUGAUCAUGAAUUAGGUACCUUGAACUUGAACUUAACGUGCACUUCGCUUGCUCUACUCUUAAAGACAUUGUACUAUGCAUGUACCUCGAGUAGAUAAUGUCCUUGAAGGAAUGUACCCCGCACGGAUGUACCUCGAGCUCGAGUAGAUGAUGCCCUUAAGAGGAUGUCCUCGCGGCCAAAACUUGUUGACUCGUCAUGGACUUGUUGACUCGCCAUGGAUGUACCUCGAAGGGAUACAUUUGAAAAUGAACCGUCUGACCUCGAAGGGAUAUACCUUGAACGGAUGCACCUCGAAGGGAUAUACCUUGAAUAGAUAUAGCUCGCUUCGCUGCUCCCCAGUGUGAAUUAAUGAGAGUCGAGCACAAGACACUUCGCUGCCCCCCUGUGCAAACCGAUGAGAGUCAAACGAUUUUUUUUUAGAGGCCACAGGUGUUGGCCUAAAUAAUGACCAAGACGCCUCAAGAAGGGUCUAAAGUCUGAAAUAUUUUUUUAGAGGUCAGAGGUGUUGGCCUAAAUAAUGACCAAGACGCCUCAAGAAGGGUCUAAAGUCUGAAAUAUUUGGAACACAUCUCUAUCCCAUAUGUUUUGGCCACUGGGCGUGAUAAUGUUUUGGCCACACCAGUAAGUCUGGGCGUGCAAAGUCUCUUUUUGUUGUUGCGGGCGUGCCACCGCGCGGACGCGGAAUGUAGUGGUUGUAGUAGCGGGGUGCACUUAGCCUUCUACUUCUAAUCAAGCGACUGAGGAUGGAGAGAGCACCAACUCCACCGCAGGGUUCUUCAGAUUCGCCUUGCGUACUGGGCAAGGACUUACAGUAGUCCGCCUGAGCGUCACAAUAUCGAUACUCGACGUAAGAUCGAGCAGAGCUUCAAUUGGAAAGGAGAGGAAAAAAGAGAAAGCUCCGGAGAGCGUACGGGGAAACGAAAGGAAAGCUCGGGCGAGCGUCUGAGGUUUGACUAGGUCGAGAAUUGUAUUAUAUUUUGUAGAGUUGAGUUGUUGUAUUGUUUGUUGUGUGUGUAGAGAGUUUGCUCGAACUCCUUUAUAUAGAAUUACUUAGAGCCACAAGUAUUGGCCCAAAGCAUGUCAAAGACUUGUAGGAGUCUUCAACGAUAAACGUGGCGUAGACAAUGUUAAUCACUUGUUGGCCGUGAUUAUCCUUUGGCGAAGUAACUAACUGCCUCUGUCUAGAAGACUUGAGUUAGAACACCUCAUGAUGACUUUGGACGUGUGCUACUGGAUGCUGUUUCCUUAUCCAAUUGAGACAUUGUAGGGAUAGAUAUUACUGUAUUGUUAUUAUCCCAAAGGCAUCAAAAUUGCCUUAGAAUGCUAACCCUUGAACGUGAAUGUCAUGCAGGCACAAUGAUUGCCUUCUAACACGACUCUCUGGACGUGGACGUAUGCCCAUGCAACCAUAUAUGAUAACUUNNNNNNNNNNNNNNNNNNNNNNNNNNNNNNNNNNNNNNNNNNNNNNNNNNNNNNNNNNNNNNNNNNNNNNNNNNNNNNNNNNNNNNNNNNNNNNNNNNNNNNNNNNNNNNNNNNNNNNNNNNNNNNNNNNNNNNNNNNNNNNNNNNNNNNNNNNNNNNNNNNNNNNNNNNNNNNNNNNNNNNNNNNNNNNNNNNNNNNNNNNNNNNNNNNNNNNNNNNNNNNNNNNNNNNNNNNNNNNNNNNNNNNNNNNNNNNNNNNNNNNNNNNNNNNNNNNNNNNNNNNNNNNNNNNNNNNNNNNNNNNNNNNNNNNNNNNNNNNNNNNNNNNNNNNNNNNNNNNNNNNNNNNNNNNNNNNNNNNNNNNNNNNNNNNNNNNNNNNNNNNNNNNNNNNNNNNNNNNNNNNNNNNNNNNNNNNNNNNNNNNNNNNNNNNNNNNNNNNNNNNNNNNNNNNNNNNNNNNNNNNNNNNNNNNNNNNNNNNNNNNNNNNNNNNNNNNNNNNNNNNNNNNNNNNNNNNNNNNNNNNNNNNNNNNNNNNNNNNNNNNNNNNNNNNNNNNNNNNNNNNNNNNNNNNNNNNNNNNNNNNNNNNNNNNNUUUGAAAAUGAACCGUCUGACCUCGAAGGGAUAUACCUUGAACGGAUGCACCUCGAAGGGAUAUACCUUGAAUAGAUAUAGCUCGCUUCGCUGCUCCCCAGUGUGAAUCAAUGAGAGUCGAGCACAAGACACUUCGCUGCCCCCCUGUGCAAACCGAUGAGAGUCAAACGUAUUUUUUUUUAGAGGCCACAGGUGUUGGCCUAAAUAAUGACCAAGACGCCUCAAGAAGGGUCUAAAGUCUGAAAUAUUUUUUUUAGAGGCCACUGGUGUUGGCCUAAAUAAUGACCAAGACGCCUCAAGAAGGGUCUAAAGUUUGAAAUAUUUGGAACACAUCCCUAUCCCAUAUGUGCCCCUCAGUUUUGAUGUCUGUUCGACGAAUAAAGGACAUCAAAACUUUAGUAUGCCCCCUGUGAAGGAGUUGUAGUACCAUGUAUCAUUGAAGUUAGCAAACACCGAACAAGGUCGUGGAUCGGCCUUGAAUAGAUCCCGGUGUAUGAAUAAAGGUACACAAAACUUAUAUGAAUGCCCCCCAGUAAAAGAAAGCAUGCUGCAAGGUCAUGAAAACACAUUGAAAAUACACAUUGCAAAUUCGCGCGUAUCCUGACCUGUCUGCAUUCAAACUGCCAUAACUCUCUCCAGGAAUGUCGGAAUGACGAACCGUAAAAUCCUCUGGAAAAUAGACAUCCAGAGCUUUCUGGGGAUAUAAGGCUCGCCUGCUAGUUCUUCCUGGAUCAUUCCAUUUUAAUCGGCGAAGGCGACUGUCCUGUAGUGGAUGUUGCAACUUUCAGCAACUAUUGGAAUUUCUUCUCUGACUCGACUUCGCUGGCAGCAAUUCAAGACAUAUGGAAUGCCUUCUGUAUUGUCUCCAGGCCUCAGGGAUAGGCCUCAAAUAAAGUUUAAGCCUUUUGUAGGCAAAAACAUUGUCUUGCAUUUCAGCAAAACUAAGAAUCUCUUUUUGGUGUUUUCUGCUAUUUGAUUUUUUUUGUAUUUUCUUUUUUCAAUGCGAGAAAGAAAGAAAAAUGAAAGCAAAUAGAAGUAAAAACUAAAGUAAAGCUAGGAGCAAAGAAAAGAAGAGAGUAUAGCAUGGCUAGUUACCCUUCGUAAGGCCACNNNNNNNNNNNNNNNNNNNNNNNNNNNNNNNNNNNNNNNNNNNNNNNNNNNNNNNNNNNNNNNNNNNNNNNNNNNNNNNNNNNNNNNNNNNNNNNNNNNNNNNNNNNNNNNNNNNNNNNNNNNNNNNNNNNNNNNNNNNNNNNNNNNNNNNNNNNNNNNNNNNNNNNNNNNNNNNNNNNNNNNNNNNNNNNNNNNNNNNNNNNNNNNNNNNNNNNNNNNNNNNNNNNNNNNNNNNNNNNNNNNNNNNNNNNNNNNNNNNNNNNNNNNNNNNNNNNNNNNNNNNNNNNNNNNNNNNNNNNNNNNNNNNNNNNNNNNNNNNNNNNNNNNNNNNNNNNNNNNNNNNNNNNNNNNNNNNNNNNNNNNNNNNNNNNNNNNNNNNNNNNNNNNNNNNNNNNNNNNNNNNNNNNNNNNNNNNNNNNNNNNNNNNNNNNNNNNNNNNNNNNNNNNNNNNNNNNNNNNNNNNNNNNNNNNNNNNNNNNNNNNNNNNNNNNNNNNNNNNNNNNNNNNNNNNNNNNNNNNNNNNNNNNNNNNNNNNNNNNNNNNNNNNNNNNCCGCUGUUUUGGGAAAUUUUGUGGUUUUUGAUAUAGAAUAUUAAGGGGAUAUUAUUGAGGUGAAUUUUGGAAUUUUUGGAUGAGAUUUGGAUAGGUUUGUGAAUUUCCGAAGUGUGGUAUUUUUGGCAGUUAAUUAAUGUAGAAUCCGGCCGUAGGAUUUAAGUCGUAUUUUGGAGAGGUUGUAUUUACGACUGUUGAGUAUGAUAUUUAAGUUCGGAUCGUUCCGAUUUAAGAAUAUCGAAGUUAGGCAAUGAUGAGCGUAUUUAUGGCUCUCGGGUAAUUUUUCCUAUUUUGAUUGAAUAUUGGAUUAUUCGUUUGGAAAUUAAUAUUAUAUUUGGAACAGGACGUGAGGAGGCUCGAGCAGACGAGGCCCCAGAUCGACAUCAGGCUUAGGCCUAAUUUGUGAGUGGACUUUUAUUUGAAAUAAUAUAUAUGCUAUGGUUCAUGAUUGAACAUUUCCUUUUGUUGGAGUUUUGACGUCAAUUAAUUUUGACGCUUUUAUUUCUCUGAGAGAGUUACCGAAAAUGGGAUUUUCGGUGAAUAUAAAUAUAUAUAUAUAUAUAUGAGAGAGUAUGUAUAGAAAAUGCUAGCUAACCAUAUGUGUCUAUCCACCUUAAUGGCGUAGCAUAUAGCCGCAUUAUGGUGUGACGUGAGCGUUGGACGUGAGCGUAGUAGCCCUAUAUGAGUGUUUAAUUCAUAUAAGGGGUAUGGGCACAUAUUUAUACACUCAUCUGUCCACCUUAAUGGCGUAGUGUAGCACCGCAUUAAGGCGUGACGUGAGCGUUGGACGCGAGCGUAGUAGCCCUAUAUAGACCCAUGAAUUUAUAUAGGGAGUUUGGACGUGUGUAAAUACAUACAUAUAUUAUAGAGCCUGAGAGGCUCGACAUUUAUGGGAUAAAAGUUUUAUCGCUUGCGGCAUGCAUUCGAUUUUUCCUUAGAAAUUAAUAUGGGGAAACAUAAAUAUUUUAUUUAUUAUUUUAUUUUUGUCCACUCACUCUAACGUUAUUAAAUGUUUUCCCCUGGGCCCUUCGUUUUAAAUUGCCCAGUCUGCAGAGUUCGGGUUGGAUCUAGUAGGAGACGAGGCAUAGUCACCCGCUUUUCUGCCAGUUUUCAUCAGUAUGUUACAUGUUCAACCUACUCGUGUUUUCUUGCUUCCGCUUGUGUUUAGUAGCUCUGAAUACUUUGGGAUUAUUGUAUAUUAUGUGUAGAAUUUCUGAAGGAUGAUUAUGUGAUGUUCGGAAGUGUUGAAUUAAGAGUGUAAUAUGAAAUUUUCGAGUUAGGGUUGUUCAUCUGCAAGGGAGAUUUGCUUAAUCUUUUCAGUAAAAUUUUCCUUGGAGGUGGUCCCCGCACGACUUACUCCGGGUUUCAGGGUGAAAUUUGGGGUGGGUCGUGUCAGAUUUUGUGUGUCAACCACCUGAAAAUUUGAAGAAAGUAGCUCGUAGGGACUGCUUUGUUGCCCCCCGAGCAUCUUUGUCAUUUGGCACAGCAUGAUGUUCAAUUGGAUCCUUGCGGACAAUAUGGUGUAAAGAUCUGCCUUGUCACCGACUAUCAUGUCAUAAUGCAUGGUCUUAUCUGGUAUAGCCACGCAUUGGUCACGGAAGGGGACCAUAUCAAGAGCUUCACUAGGAUUAAACUCUUGUGGAAUAUGAUUAUGAGACAAACGCACCAACAUAUAGUCUUCAUCAUAUUCAUCAUAAAUUGGCUCUGUGUCAAAAUCAAAGUUGGAGUCACCAUAGUCCAGCGAAUCCACCUCUGCCUCUAAUGCAAAUAUAUGAAAUCCAUGAGCAUCAUGUUUAGAUGCCACCAAGUCCCUGCUGCAUACUAGAGUGAGAUGACCCUGAGAAUACUCGACUUUACACCCAUGUAUAAUAAACUUGCCAUUCUGGGUGUAAAAACGUUUUCCACAUACAAUACUAAAGCCAUAAUUUGGCCUUUGAACUUGCAUGCAGAGACUCCAAUUAUAUUGGAGUGUGAAGCCACGGAUUGGCCUAGGUACACCGCCAUACCAUGUAUAAUUAAGCUUGUCAUGACUCUGGGCCACUUCUUGACAAGGUACAGUGGGACAAAACUUGAGUUGAUCAUGCCCUUGAUCAUGGUGGUGGAUUAAAGAAAGAAAGCGAGUUACGCCUUGCCCCCCAUGCAUCUGACCUGUGUCCACAUAUAUGUCUCGCAUAGGAAAGUUUGCUCCUAGGUCACCUUUCAUGUGAAUUUGUGGUUCGCCAUCAUCAGUGUUCGAACCAAUUUCGUCUUCUAAGAUGGAUUGUUCUAUCCUAUCUUCAUGCUCCUUUUUCUGAGGAACACCGUCAGUUUUUGAGAUAGAAUGAUUAUCCAUAAUCUCAACGGCCUCGACCUCAGUUUCUUCAUCAUUGAUUGACAAAGUAGUUUCUUCUUUGGACGUGGGCUCGUCCAAAGGAAAAUCUUCGCGAAUAGAUUGGAUGCUAGGCAAUUCAAUCUUUUUGGCAAGGACAUGCUCGUCAACUAUAGUCUUUACAUUUUGGCAUUGUAAAGCCUUUUCGAUGUGUAGCUUUACGAGGGACAGUAUUUGUUUCAUUCUUGUUUUUGCCAACCGGUCUUGGAAGGCAACUCGGCGUCGCUGAAACUCUUCCUCAUAGGCCUUCGCCUUAGCCUUUCUGUGUUCUUCAGCCUUCAUGGCCGCAAUCUCCAGCAUGGCCUCCUCUUUUUUCCUGGCAGCCACUCGCUCGGCAUGUCGUUUGGCAUUGGCAGCCAUUGCCUCGACGUAUGCCCUGUCGCUGGCAGCUCUUUCUUCGGCAUAUUUCCUGUCAAUGGCAGCCCAUCUCUUGUCCUAAUCAUGCCAACCCAUUAUGGCAUCUUUGUUUUCGACCGUCGAUCCCAAUGAAGGUGACGUCAGAGACUACCCUGGUCCCACUGGGCGUGCCAAUGUUUUGGCCACACCAGUAAGUCUGGGCGUGCAAAGUCUCUUUUUGUUGUUGCGGGCCUGCCACCGCGCGGACGCGGAAUGUAGUGGUUUUAGUAGCGGGGUGCACUUAGCCUUCUGCUUCUAAUCAAGCGACUGAGGAUGGAGAGAGCACCAACUCCACUGCAGGGUUCUUCAGAUUCACCUUGCGUACUGGGCAAGGACUUACAGUAGUCCGCCUGAGCGUCACAAUAUCGAUACUCGACGUAGGAUCGAGCAGAGCUUCAAUUGAGAAGGAGAGGAAAAAAGAGAAAGCUCCGGAGAGCGUACGGGAAAACGAAAAGAAAGCUUCGGGGAGCGUCUGAGGUUCGACUAGGUCGAGAAUUGUAUUGUAUUUUGUAGAGUUGAGUUGUUGUAUUGUUUGUUGUGUGUGUGUAGAGAGUCUGCUCGAACUCCUUUAUAUAGAAUUACUUAGGGCCACAGGUAUUGGCCCAAAGCAUGUCAAAGACUUGUAGGAGUCUUCAACGAUAAACGUGGCGUAGACGAUGUUAAUCACUUGUUGGCCGUGAUUAUCCUUUGGCGAAGUAACUAACUGCCUCUGUCUAGAAGACUUGAGUUAGAACACCUCAUGAUGACUUUGGACGUGUGCUACUGGAUGCUGUUUCCUUAUCCAAUUGAGACAUUGUAGGGAUAGAUAUUACUGUAUUGUUAUUAUCCCAAAGGCAUCAAAAUUGNNNNNNNNNNNNNNNNNNNNNNNNNNNNNNNNNNNNNNNNNNNNNNNNNNNNNNNNNNNNNNNNNNNNNNNNNNNNNNNNNNNNNNNNNNNNNNNNNNNNNNNNNNNNNNNNNNNNNNNNCAUGUUCACGUACUGGCUCGAUCAUGCAAUUAAACACUGCUCCAUUCUUUAUUCAAGGGAACGGCGGGAUGCUGGCGAGAUUCCCUUGAGAUGCCAUCGAGAUACUCAUAAGCCAUGCACGGGUCGCGUCAAGAUGUUUAUUAAUUAAAGAAGACAUCACCUCCGAUUACUCAUGCGAGAUCGCUCCUUCAAACAAUUAAAGAUAAUUGCCUCUUAUCUAAUCAUGUUGGCGGCUCACAGUUCACGCCCUUCUCUUAGUACCACACGAAAUCUUCUCAUGUCAAGUCAACUCUGUACCAACCUCAAUCGAGCUCGCAUGACUUUGUAGGCGAGGUGACCCGCCUCCAGUAAACCCAAUAUUACUCGGGCUCGUCGGUGUGGAUCAUGAAUUUAAUUAACAUUCACUUUAGACAAUUACUGUUCAGUAAAGUAUUAAUUUGGGUGUAAACAUACAGGAGAUGACUACUUGUAGUUGAGUGAGGCUAUUGGGACCUCUAAAUUUGCUCAUUAGACCUCCUAUGGUUUUUAGUUUUUACACCUCCUAUCAAAUUUUCAAAUAGUAUAUUUACUCACUAAACCUCACUUAAGUUCCUCAAAUAACCUCACUAUAUAAUUUUUAAUAAUGAAUCAUUAUCUCCAAAAUAAAAAUUGUACUCACUAUAAUUAAUUUUUGCAUUUGACAUUUCUUAAGUACGAUUUGAUUCCUUAAUUUAAUAACGUAAAUUUCUUAAAAAUAAAAAUAGAAGCUCAAUGUAUAGGGUUUCAAAAAUUUAUUUUUAACAACAAGAAAAUGUUCUAACAUGAAUUAACGUUUUGUUUUCUAUUGUACCUCUCCUAAACGAAGAUCAAGAAUAUCCAUUUUUUUCUCUAUGUAUNUAAUUUUUUUUUUCAUUUUGAUANNNNNNNNNNNNNNNNNNNNAAUUAAAAGAUAUGACAUGUGACAUUCAACUAGUUCGGGUGGGGAUGAGGGUUGGGAAGUAUGGGUUGGGAGCAAAUUUGCAUCCCAUACCAUGGGAUUCAAUCUCCCUCAUAUUUUUCCAACAUUAAUUGCAUCUUUCAAAUAUUAUUUUAAUGAAUGUUAUUACAAAAUUAUCCAUAAUUUUUUUUGAAUCUUGAAUACUUUAUAUUUUAAUAUGAAGGAUAAUUGGUAAAUUAAUGUUAUUUAUUUUCCUAUCCAUGUAUAAACCAAACAUUGGAAAGGAAAGUAAAAUACAUUUCCUAGUUAAUUUUCCCGACAUUCCCAAACACCUGGUCUGGAAACUAGUGGGAAAUCUACUUUCUUAUGUACAUAGGAAAGACCAAGGAACCAAUUUCUUUUCCAUCAACCAAACGAGGCCAUAGAUCUUCUUUGUUUAUAAUUUACUUUUUCUAUAUUAUAUGAGAAAUUUUAAAUACACACCUCUAAUUUCUUAAUACACACCUCUAUUAUUUUAUAUUUCACAUCAGAUUUUAUAUGUAUGUUUAAUUACAAAAACAAUCCAUCAAUUAUUAGGAAAAAAAAAAAACUUCCUCUCCCUUAAAACCUAACUCUUCUCCACUAUUACUAUGCAUCAAAAGAAAAGAAAUAAAAACCUACUUAUCCAAAAUUACAUCACCUGAAUUUCGUACUACUAUCGUAAUCACAUGUGCUAUUUACCGAUUCAUUUGGUUUUUAUGCUAUUGUACUUCUACUAGUUUCUUAACUUUGAAAAAAUUAUGUAUGUUCAAUUUUUUUUUCUUCAAAUUCAAGCCGAUUGAUGUCAUAUUGGAGAUUUGGAGUUCAAAUAUAAUAUUACUCUUUUGAUUAUAAAUUGAAAAAUAUCAAGAAAAAAUUUCUACCCCGCCCGAUCAAAAAAAAUCUAACAGAAAAUAAAAGAGAAUACAUAAAAAGAGUUGUGAAAUAGUAAAUAUAUAAUAAUUAUAUUAAAUAAAAAAUUAUUAUUAGUUUUAGAUAUUGAGGGUAUUUUAGACAGUUUGGGAUGUAUAUUUAGUAUAACAUUAAAAUGAAAAACUAGAUGAGUAAUGUAUUAAGUAAAAUGUGUGUAUUAAGAGAUUAGGGGUGCGUAUUUAAAAUUACUUUAUAUCAUUUAGUUUUUUUUUUCUUUUUUCUUUUCCGAAGGGUAACAUAUCUAUAACUCCUAUAAGACUAUAAGUUGGUGACGUGGUGGGUGCAAUUAACUUUCAUGAAGUGUCUUAGACGUUACCCUCUCUCCAUGAGAAUGAAUGCUAUGGGCCUAUGGACUAUGGUAUCAUCAGUAGACAGUCGUUGGCGCAUUGUUAGCUGAACUCUUGGAUAUGGCCACACACAAAAAACUAACAAAAAAAAAAAAAAAAACGACUUGGAUAUGGCCGCAGUAAAUGACGUACUAUAUGUCUAUAUCCCACUUCCCAUUCCCCCUAAAUUAGGUUUGGAGGCGCAUGCAUAAUCACAGUAUGAAGAAGAAGAAGACUUGAGGAUCGAUUUCUUGAAACAUAAUCGAUUAUCGGGUUUUAGGCGUUUAGAGGAUCAAUAUGGCGGUUUCAUUUUCAGAUAGAAUUUAGCUAGAAAAUAAAAACGAAGCUAUACCAAACGAGAUCUUAGACUAUCCUUCAAAUCCCCCCCUAGCAGCAAGCCAAGUGGCUUCGGCGUGACCGGAAGGCUAGCCUAGGCCAGGACCGCUGCUGGAUGAGAAAACUUUCAUCAAGAGCUCCUGAAGCGGCCUUUUAGGAGUUUUCUAUUUCGUUGGUGUGCCUUUUGGUUGAUUGCAUGUUCUUAGUUCAUCCUCUAAAAGUCUAAAUUGACACAGUGACGUUGUUAUUGAAUGAACUGAACUUAUUCAAAAAUCGAUCAUGCCAAGUAAUUGGCGACAAUAUGUAUAUAAAACAAGAUUAUGUAUUAGUCCACACAAUCACCUAAAAUUUGGCAUUUGCUUCAUUUGAAGCAUCGACCAAGCCAACCUUAAUCCUAAGUCCUAAUCAUAGUCGUAAGACAAACGAAGUCAUUAGUAAAACAAGAUCAUGUAUGAGUCCACACGAUCACCUAAAUUCUAUUUCAUUGGAUGGAAAAUUCUGCUUUAGCAUCUUCCAUCGUAGGCUAAAUCCUUAACCAAAUUUAGCCUAUAAGACCAUCUUCCACCAUAGGCUAAAAAAUCAAAUUUAGCCUAUGAUUACUCUCACCAUAAGCCAAAUUACAAUUUUCAAAGUAAAAAGCCAAAUUUGGCCUUCCACCUUCCAUAAAAAAAGAAUAUUCUGUGAAAUCUUUUUUUAGCUUACCAAAUUCUCUCACCGUAAGCUAAAUCUUUAGCCAAAUUUAUAACCUUUUGGAUUUAAAAACACUCCCACCAUAAGCUAAAUUCAAAGAUAAAGCCAAAUCUAAUUCUUUUGUCAUAUAUAUGUAAUGUUAUAUUUCUAUGCAUAUUUUUUCUUUUCUCAUAUAUAUAAAUAUAUAUAAUAUUAAAAAUAAUUUGAAACUACAAAUAUUGAGAAGGGCAUGGAUCU